UAAAAUCAGUCAUUUUUUUAAUCCAAUCUAAUUCUCCUCCUUUUUAUUAUAAAAAUUUAGAAUAUAUAUAAUUUUUAUAGAUAAUUUCCUAAAUUAAUAAAAAUUUAGAAUAUAUAAUUUUUAUAUAUAAUUUUUUAAAUAAUUUAGGUUGCAUGCCUGAAAUAUAAAUUUUAAGUUUAUAAUAUUAAUCAAAAGAAAGAUUUAUGGAGUUUAAAUUAUUAUUUUUUUAAUAAAUUUAGUGGCGAGAGUUGUAUGAAGUAUAAUAACUAAAUUUGUAAAGUUAAAUGCUACAUUCAAAAUUUAAAAUCAAAGUACUAUUGAAUUACUCAAAUCUACAUAUUAAAAGAUUGGGUAGAGAGAACAGAAUUUUGAAAGGUUAGAUAGCUAAUUCAAAAUGAUUCAUACUUCAAAAAAGUUCGAUACGUUUUUGCUUUGAUUUUAAUAUCAAAUUUUAAUGCCUUAUUUAUAAUAUGAUAAGCGAUCAACUUCACAUUUAAAUCUUCUAGAAUAUCCAAACCAAUGAUUAGUUGGCUUUUAAUUUCAACAAUUAGGCAUUCUAAAAUUUAUUAGAUAGUUUAACAGAUUAUUUUGUCGAAUAAAAUUACUAAUUGAAUAAAACCGAUAAAUGUUGAACCUUGUCUUCGUUCGGAAAAAAAUAAAAUAUAAAAAAAAUAAAUUACACUUUCUGUUCUCAAAGUAUAAGACAUAUGACACUUCAAUUCUCAAACUUUAAUGCGUUAUAAUUUUUGGGUCAAAACAAGUUUAAUAAUUAUACAUUUUAAUUGAUUGAAAUAUGAUCUCCCCGCUGCGAAGCGCGGGCCCUACACUAGUAAUACAUUUUUACAAGAAUAUUAUACUAAAAGCAUACUGAUUCACUAUUUUGAUCAUAUUUUUAUAUUUUUCAAAAAGAUAUCUAAAUUAUUAUUAUUUAAUUUAAAUUGAAUAGCGGUAAAAGAUGCGAGUAAAGUAGCGCAAUCAUUGUGGAUUCUUAGGUGGGCAGAAUACUAAAUUAUUAUGAAUUAUAAGAUAUUCGUAUUUUUACAUUCGAAGAUAGUCAUUUGUAGUCCGUUAAAACAAUAUGCUAGUUCUCAGCAAUCUCUCAGCCAAAGUAACUUGAACAGUUAAUAACAAAUUUGUCAUUCUAAAUAUUUAAUAUAUAAUAUUUUUAAAAUAUUACAAAAAUUGUAAUUUUGUUUUUUUUUCUGUUUUCUUUUUGUAAAAAGAGCAAAACAAGCUUUCCUUGAGAUAUUCGAAUAAAAAUUCACGUUUUAUUCUGCUUGUAAUUCCAGCCAAAAAUAUUUUGAAUAGAUUUCAACUAAAGCAUGGAAAUGAGUACUCAUAUAGGAGUCUAACAAUAUUGUCCUUAAUUAGUUACUAUUUACGCAGCCUAAUAAUUAUAUGGGUCCAAAAUUUUGUGAUUUUGUGAUUGUUGCAUGCCGAAUGUCCCGACCCUUGAUCCGGUCAAUAAUUCUCCUCGGGAAGAUCGUCGGGAUGCGAGACGGCUGCAGAUUAUGAUCCUUGAAGUAUGCGCCCACAGAGGAUCAAGCGAUUAGGCCGAUGAGGGAUCGAAUCAGCUGGGUUCGAAAACCUCCACAGUAAAUUCGCUUCGGCAGGAUGAGCCGAAUGGAGAGGGGAAGCCCAGAAUUCGACUAAGAAACGAGCCGAAUGGCCAAACAACUUGUGAUCUGAUCGGCAGAAAGAACCGAAGAUGACUUUCUAUUGAAUAGCAAAAGAAAAAAGUAUACAAACAGGGGAGUGAUGCCCGUAGGGCAGACAGACUUCAAGUAUGGGAACAGGGGAGUGAUGCCCGUAGGGCAGACAGACUCCGAAUAUGCUAAAUUAUAGGAACUACUCCUAAGGAAAGCAGUAAAUGCGAGAAUAGAAAGAUGCAGAAAAAUAAAGAUGGUCUUUUGUGCGCAGGGGCGAAGACCUUUUUUUCAGGGUAUCGUAUGCCUAUUUAUAGAACCGUCCUUGCGUUAGUUAUUGCUUUUGCACGAUCAACCACUAUCUCCUGAUUCGCAGGACUACCUUCGGCCGAUCGGAACCACUCGUAACUGCUUGCGGUUGUUAUAACUCCUCGGUCCAGUGCGGCUCGUGUGCGUCCGAUGUAUUCUAGAUCUUCGUUUUAGCCGUGGACAUGGACCCAGCGUGCCAGCUGUUCGCGCCUGACUGGCUCAACAGUGAUGUAAAUCAGAAUUUUUCAACUUUUACAAACCAUCAGAAGAAGUGGAGGAAUUUUGAGGACUAUAAAGCGUCGGUGGUCACGAUAGAUAAGAAAUGGAAUUAAUUUUAUUGUGCUCUAAUUCCUCUCACGCUCCGAACAACUCCAUUUCUUUAUUGAAACAAAUAUCAUAGGCCAGGGAAUCGAAUCUGUGUCGCGACAUAAUUUUAGCGAAUAGGCAAUUAGAGAGGGCUUGGACUCGAUCGGCUCAGAAUCGGGCCGAACCAUUCCCUGUCGACAUAAUUGUUUGCGAACCGGGGCCGAACCGGAAAAUUCAAACCUCCUAUUCUCUCCUCGCGUGGACGCGCACGUGCGUCCUCGACCACCUUAUCUGCGUCUCCCUCGUUCUCCCCCUCCUCACCCUUCGUUGCUCCCGCGACCCCGCGCUCUCCGCCAUUAAUGGAGCUCCGCUUAAUCGAUCCCCCAAACCCUCGUUUACUCUCAUCGUCGUCGUCGUCGUCCCCCUCCUCCUCCCUCUUAACCUUAUGGAGACGCAGAGGGCGUUCACUUCUCCUCCUUGUUAGGGCUCGGAAGCGGCGGAGCCCCCGCUCCAAUGGCCUCGGGGGGGAGCCGAAGAGGGAGCUAUCGCACAUUCUGAGGACGGAGGCCGCCGUGUUGGGCGUGGAGAAGAGGGCCGGAUCCGCCUCUUCCACGCGCCUCUGGCCCCGAGCGGUUCUCGAGGCACUCGAGAGCUCCAUCUCCGAUAACCGAUGGGAAUCCGCACUCGAGGUUAACCCUAAUUCUCCUGUUUCUUUUUCUUCGUUCCCCGUUGGUAAAAUUGGUUCCUUUCUGAAUUUGGGGCGAGUUUUAUCUCCUUGUGCGAGUAUUACUUAGUAUUUGAGUUGGGGAUUCAAUUAUCCCUUCACAAAUUUCUUGCAACUUACUGUAUGAGACAACAGUUUAAUACCAUUUUAAGAGCACAGAGUGUUAUAGUUGCGUUCAAUGUAUUAGUUCGUAAUCUCUCUAUCAUAUUACGGCCCUCUUUGAAUGUCAGAUACAUUAUUUGAUAUGAGAAUUUUCUAGUAUAAUUGUAAUUAAGGAGUUUGAUUUUUGUUUCUUCAGAGGUCUUGCUAUUCAUUAUUUGAUAGUAUAGCAUAUUCACGUAUGAGGUGAUUUAUUUUAUUAUGAAAAGAAAACUUACAGGCCGAAUAUGAUAUUCCAUUCAACAUAUUUGAUCAUACUCCUUAUUUACCAUAUAUAUAAAUUUUUGGAGUAAAUUAAGAAAAUAUAUUGAACAAGAUAUUCAUGCAUCCUAACAGGGCCUAAAUUUGUUGACUUUGGUUUCUUUGAAUUAUCCAAGCAUGCUUUAGCAUGCCUCUAAUUUUUAACACAUUAACAUUUGUCUAUAUGUGGGACUAGUUGGUCACUAGUUAAUGCUUGAGUUUUGCUUCUCUUACUUAUCGUAGAUCUUUGGGCUGCUCCGGAAGCAGCGCUGGUAUCAACCAAAAUCUCGAACUUAUGCGAGACUGUUGACGAUGCUUGGGAAGUGCAGGCAGCCUGAGCAUGCCACCUCGCUUUUCCGAGCUAUGCUUUCGGAAGGUGUUAAACCAACUUUGGAUGUUUACACUUCACUUGUAGGUGCGUAUGGUUUCAGUGGCCUCUUGGAGGAGGCGUUUCUUACCGUUGAUGAAAUGAAAACCAUUUCUGAUUGCAAGCCCGAUGAGUUCACUUUCUCGAUCCUGAUAAACUGCUGUUGCAAAUUGCGUCGCUUUGAUUACAUACCCACACUACUUACUGAAAUGUCUUACUUGGGUCUUGAAUGCAAUGUUGUUACUUACAAUAUUAUGAUAGAUGGAUAUGGUAAAGCUGGAAUGCUUGAAGAUAUGGAGAAUUCUUUGUUUGAUAUGCUCGAGAAUGGACGAUGCUUGCCCGAUAUAUUCACGAUGAACUCUAUUCUCUGGGCUUAUGGAAAUUAUGGAACAACAGCUGAGAUGGAAAAGUGGUACAAUGAGUUUCAGCUAAUGGGUAUUGAACCCGACAUCCAAACAUUCAAUAUCAUGAUUAAGUCCUAUGGAAAAGCCGGCAUGCAUGAAAAAUUGAGGUUGGUUUUGCAGUACAUGAAAAAACGCUUCUUUUCUCCGACUGUUAUAACCUUCAAUAUAAUUAUAGAAUGUUUUGGAAGAGCAGGGAAUAUCAAGGAGAUGGAAUACUAUUUUAGGUUGAUGAAGAUUCAAGGGGUUAAGCCUAAUUCAAUCACUUACUGCUCGCUGGUCAGUGGAUACAGUAAAGCUGGGCUUCUUGAUAGAGUUCCUGCAAUUAUAAGGCAAACGGAGAACACUGAUGUUGUUCUGGACACAGCUUUUUUCAACUGUGUAAUCAAUGCGUAUGGUCAGGCCGGAGAGGUGAAGAUAAUGGGAGAAAUGUUUGAGCUUAUGAAGGAGAAGAAAUGUAAACCUGAUGAUGUUACAUUUGCAACAAUGGUUCAUGCAUAUAAUGCUCAAGGCAUGUAUGAAGCCGUUAAAUUGUUGGGGGAGAAGAUAUGCAGGACAGAAAAGGAAGCUUUGGUAAAAAUUUUCUAAUUCUAACUGACUCAAAUAAAGGAGCUUGAUCGUGCCAAACUAAUCUGUUGACGUUCACAUUAUUACCAUUUUUAAUAGGUUGGUUUUUUUUAUUAUCCUUUGUAUAUAUUGAUUUUGCUACUAAGGACACAUGGAUUCUUAAAACUAAAGGAUUUUUCUGAUGGAGAAGUACUUGUUAUAUAGGCACCAGGUUGACAAGAAUCCCAUCACAAACUGGUCUUAUGAAUAAAACUCGUCUUUGCAAGUAUCAACGCUGGCACUAGCACAGAUAUACGGCAAUUUCCUCUGGUACACUCUGUAGAGGUAAGCUCUGCUUCUUCUAGCAUUCUUUUGACCUCUCUCUCUCUCUCUCUCUCUCUCUCUCUUCAUUGCUUGGGGCCUGUUGGCAUAUGCUGCUCAUUUCUGAUAUUUUUGUUUCCUUCUUUUAUUUGUGAAAAUUCUUAACAAUGAUUACAUUUGAAUUGGCUCCCAGAUUUCCAGGUGGGAGUGUUAGCAUAUCUGUGAAUUUUUUUUCGCUUUAAGUAAUGUUUGGGCAUCUGAAAUAUAUCAUGCAUGGAUUAUUUCCGUGCGAGAUAUUACAAUAAAGGAAGAUUGAAAAGAGGAUAUCGAGGAAGACGUGCUCAUCCAACAUCUAUUCUUUUGGUAGGACUUUGUAAUGAUAUUCUUCUCUUACACUCUUUAUUUCAUGCAGAGAUCUUCUUGCAAACAUUUUUCAGUUUCCUCCUGCUUAUAUCUGUUGUUUUCUCCUUUUGGAUGCAGUUGUACGUUUAUUAAAAAUGAAGAUAUUAACCAAGAAGCAGGUGUUGAAAAAAGUGAAUGUUGGAAAUUCUCUCUGAACUUGUUGAAGGCUAGUAAGUCAAUGAAGGAAAAAAAAUUGAUUGCGAGGGAGAACAAGCAGCAGAAACUUAAUUCAGCAGUUCGAUAUAUGUUUUCUCACUCAUUGGCAUUGAUAAGAUUCUUUGUUUUAACAGUACCUUAGGAUGGUAGAGUCUCACGCCCUAAUUGAUGGUUCCAAUCCUCCAGCUCGGCCACCAUGUAAACUUUGCUCUCUCUUAUAAUGUGCAGGUCUUACACCUGUUUGCAUUAAAAGAAAAAUGAUGGUUCCAAUCCGGCAGUCCAAUCAACUUUGAAGUCAAAUGACAAUACGAUCAACAAUUCGUUUGGUGGUCGUCCCUGCACAUUCCUAAGAAACCAAAUGCACUCUUGGAUUCAGAAUAACAGUUCUGUCCGCAGAUUCUAGUUCGACAAGAAUCAUAAUUUGAAUGAUUUACCUUUUUGUAUGUUUUGAUUGCAAUUAGGGGGUGAUGAUGAUGUGUUAAGGGAGAAUGUGGUCAAUGUGUGGCAACUGGCUGCUUUCUUUCUUUCUACAAUUAAUCCUUCUAGGGUUAUUUUCUCCUUGAACUAGAGCAUCAUAAUUUGCACAUAUUCGAGUAGUGUAAUACCCAGCUAUUAAAUUGUUCAAAUCGAUCAUGCUAGAGUUCAACGUGUUCCGUCUAUUGAUGUUUUUUCCUCAAAUUUCGCUCAUACGCAUCGUCUGUGCAUUCGAUUAACAAAUGCGAGUUGAAUCAUUAGCCGGUGCUGAGAAGCAUGAUAGAUCUAUAUCUGCUUUGUAAGUAUCCUUUGAGUAGCUGUACUUUCAAAGUGUUUCUUUUCUCCUUACUCCUUUAUUCGUCUUAGAAAUGUAUUUGACUUGUCUGUAAACUUUUCAUUUACCUGACUUGUUUAACUUUCUUAUAUGUUUCAAUUAUAUUCCUACCAAACUAUUGAAAAACAGACUUGAUUGAUGGGCUGCAUUUGGUUGCCUUUUUGUAAUACAAGGUUGGAUUUGGCGAGAAUUUAUUGCUAUUAGCUAUACUUUAUCAGUAAUUCUAACACAUUCCUCCUUAAAUUAGUUGUAAUAUUAUUAUUAUUUUUUUUUACAACGUAACUGAGGAUAGAAUGAAAAAAGUAUUUAUAUUGAAAUGGUUUUCUAUUUUUUUGCUAAAUAACACAAAAGAAUUUAGUUGAACUCCAAUUUAAUCGAAAGAAAGAAUUUUAUUUUAAAUUAUAUUCAAAAAGAAUUAUCUCGACUGAAUUUUGUUGAAUUAUAUUUAAAUUUGGUGCUGAACGGAGUGUUCGUUAGGAUGCAAUUGCAAAAUAUGAAAAAGUUUAAAGAGUCUUGAAUUUCUUGAACAAGUUCUUUUUUGCAAAAAAAAAAGUUCGCCAAAAUUAUUACAAAGUAAAUAACAAUAUUGUUGUGAGUAUCCGAUAUCUAUCCAUUCACACACACAUUAAAAAAAAAAAAGUAAGAUCAGCAUAUAGCUUUUCCCAACAUUUUAAAAUUUGGGUCUACUCUACAGUUCAAUUCUUUGAACCGGAUAAGUUAAAAAUUUAUUUUGAUGUGUUCGAAUCAGUGGUUCAAUCAGUAAAUCAGUGAACCGGUUUUGUUCUGUUCAAUUAGUAAAUCAGUGAACCGGUUUUGUUCUAGACAAAUCAGCUGAAUUUAUUUAUUUAUUUAGGAUUGAUUUUUUUGUACAUAUUUUAGUUUCUACUAUGAAAAAUAAAACGUGAAAAAUUGUACUUACUUAAUCUGAUCUAAAUAUUAAUAUUUAUAAUUAAAUAUGAUAAUAAAUAAAUAAAUAAACAAAUAAAUAAAUUAAGUAUUUACGACGUCACGUCUAUGUUAUUGGUCCAACCUUGUUGGACCCAUUUUUAAAACAUUGCUUUUCCUCUCCACCGCUUUGAGCUCCUCUCAAAUUUUCAUGUCCUAAAGCGUGAUAUUUAUGUACCAAGUGCUACCCCCAAGAUCCAUUGAAUUUUAUUUUCACAGUUCUCUCUCCAGAUUGAUAGAAGCUUAAAAGAAAAGAAGAGAAAAUUGGGAAGAAGUCUUCCCCCAUAAAAGAAGUUAAAAGAAAAGAAGAGAAAAUUGGGAAGGAGGAAAAGGGAGAGUAGCGGAAGCGAAUGGAGCGCGGGACGCGGACGCGGACGCGGGGGCAGACGGCCGACGAGGUGGCGGCGAUCCUGCGCAAGUCGUGGUACCGGCUCCGGCUGUCUGCGCGGCACCCGGCGCGCGCGCCGGCGUGGGACGCCAUCGUCCUCACGGCGGCCAGCCCGGAGCAGGCCGCUCUCUUCGACUGGCACCUCGCCCGCGCCCGCCGCUCCGGCCGAAUCCCCCCCUCCACCGCCGCCCUCGCCGUCCCCGACCCCGACGCCGCCCGCAUCGGCUCCGGCGCCGCCACCCUCCACGCCCUCUCCGCCCUCGCCCGCCACCUCCUCUCCCCCUCCCAGGUCCCCCCCUCUUCUCCCAACAAUUAGGGCUCCUCCUGUCGCUACUCUCCCACGAUUCUCGAUUCUUCCUGUAGAAAUGCAACGAAUCCGCUCUGGUUAGGGUUUAGGGCUUUUUUAAGGCAUGAAUCUCCCUCAGGGAGAGAUGCUUUAGAUUUCAAGAUCUUUUCUAGGGUUUGGAAUGUACCGGACUCUUUCGCCUCGCUAGGUUCGGCGCGAAUCUUGAUUGAAAGGUGAAGGCUAGAUGUAAAUUCAAAAAGUUUUCUUGCAUUUGGCUGAUAGUAACUUCUUCUUGGCUCAAUCUAGGUAUGACAUGUAAUGCUUGCUAACUUUGAUCAUGUGUGUGUAGUUGUUCCCUUAAAGAAGUGGCCUUGGCGCCUUCCGCCUUUUUGUCAUUAUGAGAAUGACAACAAAGAAAUGCUUUGGGGAACUUUUACUUCUCUGGUUUCGUCCAUAUUGUUUAUGUGAAACCCAUUGUUUUGUAAUUUCUUCUUUGAGUAAAUAUCUUUUACCUAUAGCAGGUGCCAGACGAUGAGAAGGGCACUUUGAUAACUUCGGAAAAUGGCAAUUCUGAUGAUAACAUCCUUCUCACCUCGAUGUUAAGCGUAAUGGCGAAGAAGCAUAUAUUAUUACUUCAUGCUGGAGGAGACUCUAAGAGGGUCCCGUGGGCCAACCCGAUGGGGAAAGUGUUCCUACCACUGCCGUACUUGGCGUCGGAUAAUCCGGAUGGGCCUAUUCCGUUGCUUUUCGAUCAUAUUCUUGCAAUUUCCUCUAGCGCAAGGCAAGCUUUUAAGAAUGAAGGUUAAUAGAGAUUGAUCUUUCCCUGACAUCUGUAAUAUUAAAAAUUGGUUUUUGCCUUUUAAGAACAUCAAUUGCUAGUGAAAUUAUGUGAGUUCCCUUCUCUGCAUAUCUAAGCUUUUAGAGGGCCGUAUAUGGUUUGAGUUUAUCAAAUCAGCGCAUGCGUAUAGUUUAACCAUUUGAUUUUAGAUUAUAAGCCAUCUUUUCAUACAUCUUGCAUGCUAAGUGAAUCAUCUAAGCGGAGUCUAAUCUGUUGCUAAAAUAUUUAUUAUAACUAGCUAUGAAAUCUAGUUUAAUUGCUUCUUUUCUUUUUUUUUUCCCUCUCAGUUUAAAUUUAUCUGCACUGUCAGCUGCUUUUCUGUUGAUAUGCUGCUUUAGUGUGAGGUUCACUAACAAGACACAUUUAGUAAAGAUUUAAGUUUAGUCUUUUGAUAUAAUAUUUCUGCUUUUGUUCUUUACAUGUUAUAGUGAUUCCUUUAUUUAAUUUGCUGGGGCUUUUUUUGCAUUUGGCCUCAAAAUUUUUUUUUUUACAAAUAACCCCACCAAAUUUGCUGUCAUAAAUAUCACAAAGUGUUGCAUCAUUAAGCAGUUAAUCUUAUUACAAGGUGAUUUCCUUGUUCAGGUGGGAUAUUCAUAAUGACAGGAGAUGUGCUGCCCUGUUUUGAUGCGUCCAACAUGAUUCUUCCUGAUGAUGCUUCUUGCAUUAUCACAGCCCCAAUCACAAUGGAUGUAGCGUGUAAUCAUGGUGUUAUCAUAGCAGCAGAAGAUGGAAUCAAGGGUGAAAAUUAUUCACUUUGCUUAGUUGAGAAUCUUCUGCAAAAGCCAACAAUGAAUGAGAUGCUGGAGAGCCAUGCUGUUCUGCCUGAUGGGAGAGCACUGCUUGAUACAGGGAUAAUAGCAGUGAGAGGCAAAGCAUGGGAAGAACUUCUUCGCCUAGCCUGUUUGUCAAGUCCGAUGAUAAAGGAUCUUAUCACUUGCAAAAAAGAGGCAAGCCACCAUUAUUCGGCAUUGAUAUGCGAGCUGUAACAGUAGCAAGUAUAUAUAUUCAUUAUCUGUUGGCCUUUUGGCAUUAGUGUCUCUAAACAUUCUAAAUCGUCGGUUUAGGAUGCAUUUUGAGUGAAUAAUUAGUUGAUAGCUGAUACCAUUCUUUUGAGGAAUAGGGACCUUGCUCGUAUACCUAGAAAUCAGGCUACUGUGCAUUCUUAUUUAGUUCGAGUAACUGAAUCUCCUGUUCUUAAACUACGCUGCAUCAUGAUAUUCUUAUUAGUUGAAUUCUUUGGCAUCAUAUGAACAUUUAAUCCUUUGUCAGGGAACUUAUUUUUUUUUUUAAAUGACUGCAGAUGAGUUUAUAUGAAGAUAUGGUAGCAGCAUGGGUACCUGUAAAACAUGAAUGGUUGAAAUCUCGCCCCUUAGGAAAGCACCUUAUAGAUGCACUGGGAGCUCAGAAAUUGUUCAGCUUCUGUUCUUGUAUGUCCUAUCUAUAUAUUACCAGCUUCAUAUGUGUCUAUGUUUGAUUAUUAGUUUCCAAUGAUUUAUCCUGGAAUAUGAGAUUAGACUCUACGUAAAAUUUUAAAAAAUAAAAAUAAAAAAUAAACUACAAAAACACUGACUUAUACAACACUUUUACCUUUUUUAACUCUGCAAUGGAUCUAUAGUAACUAGUUUUCAUUAGUGUUAGUAGAGCUAUGGAGCAUGAUUCUGACAGGUUGCAGCAGGCAUAGACUGAAAAAAACAGGCAUCUGCCAUUGUUUAUUGUUCGAGUACUCUUAUGUUUUAGUGAGCAUUUUUGUGUGUCUAUUACCUUUGAGGGAAGUGUCUGACACUUUUGAGGUCUGUUAAAUUCUCAGGUGUGUCCAUUUUUAUUCUCUUUGGGUUUUGGUGCAGUCCAAGCAUGAUUGAUAUCAAGUUUGAGUUGUCAAUUCUUUCAUUGUGCAAGUUUCAUUUGUUAUGAAUUAAUUGGAAUGACUUGGGUUUGUUUUUUGUUACAUCUGCAUUAGGCAUCCAUAUUUUGUAUUUGGUCUUAUUUUGGUAGGUCAAAUUUUUGUAUUUCUGAUCCAUAUUUUUGUAUUUGGUCUACAUACUCCUUCUAUCUACUAUAUCAUUCUUUCUUCUACUACUUUGACCUACAUCAGUUUUUGGUGACAUGAGAAUUUUGGUCUUAUCACUUUUCAUUUUAUAGGGUUAGCAAGUUCAUAUAUGAUUGGACAUUUAGUACUACUUUUUUACUUUGCAGAUGACUUGUCAUUCUUGCAUUUUGGCACUUCUAUCGAAGUUCUUGAUCACUUAGGCGGGCCCAAUUCAGGACUAGUUGGUAGGAGGCAUUUGUGUUCUUUACCAGAAACCACUGUCUGCGACAUUGCUGCGACAGCUGUUAUUCUUUCCAGCAAAAUUUCACCUGGGGUUUCGAUUGGAGAGGAUUCUUUGGUUUAUGAUUCAUCACUUUCAGGGAGAAUACAGAUAGGUUCACAAUCAAUCGUUGUUGGAGUUAAUAUACAAGGAUUGAGCCAAUGUGAGCAAUCUGGAAAGUUGGUUUGCUUUAUCUUACCUGACCGUCAUUGUCUUUGGGAAGUGCCUCUGGUAAAAUCAGUGGGGAGAAUUCUGAUCUAUUGUGGACUCCAUGAUAACCCAAAAGUUUCACUCGAAGAGAAUGGGACAUUUUGUGGCAAGCCAUGGAGAAAGGUCUUAUCUGAUCUUAAAAUUGACGAAGCCGACUUAUGGGGCUCUUCGACUACUCAACAAAAGUGCCUCUGGAAUGCGAAGCUAUUCCCUGUUGUAUCUCCUGUUGAAAUGCUUAAUAUAGGAAUGUGGCUCAUGGGAUCGACCUACAAUAACCAUAAAGAAAUGCUUUCAAUAUGGAGAAAAGCUCACCGCGUCAGCUUGGAGGAGCUGCAUCGUUCAAUUAAUUAUCCUCAGCUUUGCAUUGAUUCAAGUAACCAUCAAGCUGAACUUGCUGCUGGUAUAGCUAAAGCUUGCAUGACUUAUGGUUUGCUUGGGCGUAACCUGUCGGAAUUGUGUGAGGAGAUCUUGCAAAAUGAUGCCUUUGGACUAGAAAUUUGUAAGGAACUCCUUGGACUUUGUCCCAAUCUUGAGAAACAGAGUGUUGGUAUUCUUCCUCCAAGCCGACAAUACCAGGUGCAGGUUGAUCUUCUUAGAGCUUGUGGAGAUGAAUCGGCUGCUGUCCUGAUGGAGCAGACUGUGUGGGCUGCAGUUGCUAGUGAGACUGCAUCAGCAGUGAAAUAUGGAUUUGAAGGUACACAAAAUUAUUAAUUUCUACAAUUGCUUAUGAAAUGUGAUAUAAAUCUUAUCGAAGAUCGGAUAAAAUGAUGCAGGGACUAAAGCCUUAAGUAAUCCAGAUUUGUAGCUAUUGUAGUUAAGUUUGUCUGGAGUUAUACCCCUCCUUUUUACGUUUUUUGAGUUGCCCUCCUUUUGUUUUCUCAAGACUUUUGUAUGGGUUAUUGCUAAUUAUUUUUUGAUAAAUUUUAAAAUUUUAUGAAGAUAAUGUGUUCGACUCAACUGAUGGGACAAACAGUUCAUCGAGUCUCCUAAGGGAUCCUAAUGGAAGCAUUUUUCAACUGAAAAAAGCUAUUGUUGAGUUGCCAGUUCGGGUUGAUUUUGUCGGUGGUUGGAGUGAUACCCCUCCUUGGAGCUUGGAACGUCUAGGAUGCGUUCUAAAUAUGGCAAUAACUUUGGAAGGAUCCCUUCCAAUUGGCACUCUGGUAGAAACAACCCAGAACUUUGGUGUUUCAAUUGUGGAUGAUGCUUCAAACCAUGUUUAUAUUGAAGAUCCUGCAUCAAUUUCAGCUCCGUUGGAUAAAGAUGAUCCAUUUCGACUCGUAAAAUCUGCUCUUCUUGUGACUGGUGUACUGCAUCACACAAUAUUGUUGGAAUCAGGUUUACACAUUAGGACGUGGGCAAAGGUUCCCCGUGGCAGUGGUCUUGGAACUUCUAGUAUACUGGCUGCUGCAGUGGUGAAGGGGCUUUUGCGUCUCAUGGAAGAGGAUGAGAGUAAUGAUAAUGUUGCUAGAGUUGUUCUGGUUUUGGAGCAAAUAAUGGGGACAGGUGGAGGAUGGCAGGAUCAAAUUGGAGGUCUAUAUCCUGGCAUUAAAUGUGCACAAAGUUUUCCAGGACAACCGCUGCGACUGCAAGUCAUUCCUCUAGCAGCGUCGCUUCAUUUGGUGCAGGAAUUAGAGCAGCGCCUGCUCGUGGUUUUCACUGGCCAAGUAUGUCAGCAAAUUUGUCUGAUUAGACAAAACAGUUGUCUUUUAUUUUUGCUUAUAUGAAUCAUAUAACUUCACAAAAUUAAGUUCAUUAAUAGGACUAGCUGAAGCUCUUUUUUGUUGGCGCUGAAAUUUAUUGUUAGCAUCUAUUGUGUAUUUAACUCAUUUUAACAUACCUGUUCUUCUUAGGUCUACAAACUUGUACUCCGUUGUGCACAAUAAAUUAUUAACAAGGAAAACAUGUCAACUUUACAAAGAGGAUUUACGUUCCCUUUAUAUGUGUACAUUCGUAACUUUUUCAAAGCAACUAUAGAUGCAGGCCUUGAAGUGUAAGGUUUUGGAUUUUAAGUUAGUAAUGCUGAUCUUAGAAAAUUCCUUGAGAAUGAGAACUUAAAUGAUAUUCGUGAUUUCUGACAGCAUAUACUGUAGUUAUUCGGAAUAAGCUGUUAUUUGAUGGAACUUGGGGGAGUCUGAACUCAUUUUUCCCUUUUUAAAAUGAUUUGUUAGGAGAAAAAUAUUUAAGAUGCUUUUGAUGUCCUGUCUUAUGCAGUGGCAAUUUACGCUUCAAAAUGCCUUGUAAUAUCUAAAUUCACAGCUCCAAACAUAAAGCAAAAUUCCGUCAGUUUAAUUGUGGAAUUUCCUUGACCAUUGUGUUUGUACACAGGUAAGGCUUGCCAAUCAAGUUUUGCAGAAGGUAGUCACACGAUAUCUCCGACGCGAUAACCUCCUCAUAUCCAGCAUCAAGCGUCUCGCAGCUCUUGCAAAAAUAGGAAGGGAAGCCUUGAUGAACAAUGACCUAGAUGAGCUCGGUCAUAUAAUGUUGGAGGCAUGGCGGCUACACCAGGAGCUGGAUCCAUACUGCAGCAACCAAUUUGUGGACAAGCUAUUCACUUUCGCCGACCCUUACUGCUGUGGCUACAAGCUGGUCGGUGCAGGGGGAGGCGGUUUCGCAUUACUACUUGCUAAGGGCCGUCGUCAUGCACGAGAACUAAAGCAAGCGCUCGAAGAGUCUGAAGAUAUCAAUGUGAAGGUGUACAAGUGGAGCAUAUAUUCACCCUGAUGUGAAUUUUGUGGGAUAUAUUUGGUGUUGCUACUCUAGCUGUGUAAUUUAUAAUCUUGAAAUGAUUUUUCGGAACUACCGUAUUUAUCAGAGAAUGGUGGCAGCAGGUGGCAGAGGCUUUGCUAGAAUUGCAGUUGAGUAUUCUUCAGGCCUCUCUUUCAUUCACCUAUGUUUACGGCGUCAAACUGCGGUGUUCAUGUUUUGUAUAGACUAUACCAAUAUGAUGGCUAGUUACUAUGUACGGUUAAUGAUAUACUAAAAGCAUUUCAUAUGAUUUUUGAAUUGGAGAUGAUUUACCGAUAUUGUAACAUAGGAGGUUAUUGUUGUAUUGUACACCAAGAUGCUGAUUGAGAAGGAUGUUAAAAAGUUUAUUGUAUAUUCAUGUCAUUUUCUCAAGUGAUCUCUCCACCAACAAAAACUCAGUUUGAAUCUGAAGAGGUGAAUUCGACUAUGGCAUCCACAAUUCUUGGUACAACUACAAAGACCACAAUGUGCCAGUCAACAAGAUUUCUUCUUUUAAUUCCCAUUUGCGACCCUCUUCUGGGAAUGUUCAGGGCCUAAAUGAUGAGGUAAUCCACUUCCUCAUUUUCUGAAAAUUAUUCUUUUGUAGAAUGCUUUCCCAUUUUGUACUGCGAUUACUGUCAGAAAGCACUCAGCCUGGAUAGUUUUGCGCACAAAGUUCUUAUUAAAAUAAUAUAUCAAGAAACACAUGCAAUCAGACCAACUCACGACCUGGGUACGAGAUAUCGUGCAAUUCUGUAGUGCAUGAAAUUCUUGUGCAUAGGUGAUCUUGUCGUUCUCGAAGGAAUGAUUGAUUGUCAAUGGUUAACUGAAGAGAGAGAUUCAGCAAGUAAGAUCAACCCUACUUUUCGUGGCUGUCAGAUUGACCAGUGUUUAAGAAUUUCUUGCGCACUUUAUUGCAGUUUAUAGAAAUGCCAUGUAUCUUUUUGACGAAAACCAUCAAGUUUUAACGGAAUCUGUUUCAGAAAUAAUGUAUACUGUAUGCAGGAUAGUCUUAUGUCAAACAAAACAACAUGUAAAUUGAGGGAUUCAUAUAAGAGUAUAAACAAAAAAUGCAUAAUCUGUUUUCAAAUAACAUAUAGUUAGAGGGGCGUUCAUACACGUUUCUCCUAAUUUCACAUGUACAAAGCGAAACACCAUAUCUGGUUUCAGCAAGGAGCCUCUAAAUUUCAUUUGUACGACAUUAUUUCCUGUAGAUAAGAUAUGGGAUUUUCCUGAAUAUCCAACAAAUUAGACCUCUUGAAGGACUUUCUCUGAGUUGCUUAUGUUGUUCAUUUUUUCAGACUUUUCAUCGUCAGUAGGAUCGUCAAACUUUGCCAGUCUAGCUAAAGUUUCCACAGCAUUUACGGCCCCUUCAAUCCUUGAUGAUAUUUCAAUCAAAAGUGAUGCUACUGUGAUGAGUGGAAGAGCUUCCAUUAGCGGCAAUGUAGCAGUAACUGAGAUGGAGUGCUUCUCAUCUGAUGCUGCUUCUCUUUGUGGAGAAGCUGUUCCUUGUAUUAAUUGACUGGGAAGUGCUUUUAAAGCACUCUGGAGAUCCUGAACUGCUUCAUUCAUAUCUGCCACUAGGAGAUCUAUCCCCUGAGACCUUCUCAUUGCCUUGAUUGAGCUUGACAUAUCUUUCAAGACCAUUGAGCACUGUGAGCUGAGUCUCAUGCACACAUCACUUAGAUGCUUCUUUAUGGAUUCAGGUGCCUGGCAAAAAAUUAUCAGUGUUAGAAACACUUGUGAAGCUGUGAUCUUCUAUGAUCUUUGAGAUUGAGGUGAAAGUUUUAUGAGGGGCUUCUCUUAAAGGAUCACUUUUUUUUAUUUAUUUUUUGAAAAGACAAAUAGUUAAAUGGUUGGAUUUAAUUAGUACUUGACAUGAGGGACACCCAAGUGCUCCUUAUGGAACAAAAAGCGGUACCGCAGGCCUAGAAACUCGUUUUAAAAGCUUUAUUUUUCAAAAUAGAGAAGCUAUUUCAGAAGUUAUGCCAAACAGGUUAGUAAACUUCCACGCUACCUGAAUCUCUGAAUUGAUGCAGCCACUGAGGGCUUCUAUGCAGUAAGCACAGUAUCUCAUCGCGGCUCCAACCUUCUGAUACUGACUCCAGGGAUGCCGAAAGCCGAAGCGGCCAUGCGCCGGCUCCCAUCUUGCUAAAUUGGCCUGUGAAUCCUCAGACGCCUUCGAGUUAAGAACGCACUUGUAGCCCUGCGACUUUUGUGAGGGCGAAGUGCUCUUUGGAUCGGCAAUCCGGUCCUCGGUGAAGUAAUCUUCAACAGAGCCUGUUUAGUUGGAUUUGAACAGAGUUGGUGAGUUAAGAAUUCGGCCUUUGUUGAAUCUAACACUACAAAAUGUGCGUAAUUUCACGAUGUUGCUAUUCAAUUCCUGAACUCCUCAUCGGAACAAUUUAGUUUCUGAAUUUUGUGUAAGAGGAAUGAAUGAACAUACCCUCCAAGGAAUCGGCGAGCUUUUCCAUAUUGCGAACGAUGAGAAGGUGCAAUUCUUGGCCGGCCCAAACCGGGCAAAUCAAAACACAAACAAGGAGGCAGAUGCAGAUUCCGAUGGCGAUGGUCGACAAGCGCUGCUGCGCCAACGUGAGCAGCUGCUCCACACGGUACCCCGACACUGCAACCAAGCUGUAGGUGAGGAUGAAUAUCGUCACGCCGUAGUCGAAUCGCGCUUUUACCGUCGGUAUGAACCGCGAAAAGGUGGCGGUGGAGGCUGAGCACAUACAUGUCAAACAAGGUCAGUGAUUUUAAUCUCAGUUGUUAUACAGUAACUACUGUAGUUUAGAUAUCCAUGUAAUUAGAGUUUUGUUUAAUACCUAGUAGAAAAACUGAGGCACCGAGGAUAACAGGCUCCACUUUAUGUCCCGAUUUCGCCGCGAUCCAGUGAACGCCGAUGGCGAGGGCGCCGGCGCUCAAUGUAGCAGUGGCUCUGUUGAAUCCUUUGUACAAGCACCCACCUGCAAUAUAGAAAACGCUUGUUACAAUGUUUUUGCUUUCUCUAACCAUUUAUUUAAGUGCGCGCACUCUUUCGUUCUACUAUAUUUUGUGAAAUAAAGUAAAAUGAGCAUCUCUUCGUACGCAUUAUCUAUGGAUAGAAUUAUUGACUAGGCCCGUAAUGGCUAUGUACUGAAUUAGUGCAUGCUCCACUUUAUAUACACAAAUAUAAUAUAUGUGGUGCAAAUAGAUAUAUAUAUAUNAUAUAUAUAUAUAUAUAUAUAUAUAUAUAUAUAUAUAUAUAUAUAUAUAUAUAUAUAUAAUAUGUAGUUUGUUUUGUUUUUUUAACCCCCUAAAAAGAAAAAUUGUUACUUACCAACAGUGUAUUCAAAGACAACAACCACAGUCAUAAUAGCCCACAUAGCAGCUCUUCCCACACCAUCAUACAAAGGCCUGGUGUAGUAAAAGAGUGAAACUAGGGUUAGGGCAAGCCCUACUUUGAGCCCAUGCAUAACUUUCCUUGGAUCAUCAGCUCCUAUCCUCCACACUCUCGUUGCAGUGCCCACCACCUUCAUCCUCACCAUCACCAUGCACCCGACCAGCCACGCCGCCGCCCUCUCGAACGCUGCCGCCUCCGACUCCAUCUUCGCCGUCGAUCCUUCGGGGACUUUCACCCGCCAUUCCAAACCACCCUGCACUUCUUUGCUCUCGGCCGCGGCCAUCCCCCCACUCUCUCCGAUACCGGUCGGAGGUAACGAACAGGUCGAACGGGCGUAGAGGAGUCGGACCCUAUUGUAUUGUUCUGGAGUAACCGGUUCGCGCUCCGCAGCGGCGGCGGCUUUCGCUAAACUGAGCUUGUUGUCUUUGCAAUGGUUGGAGACUAAGUUGCGACCUUAUAUAUAUACACACAUAUAUCUACAUAGGAAGGAGAGUGGAAGUUGUAAAAAGGCGGUAAUGGGCUGAGAAGGACACGUUGAAUUGAGUGGAAAAAGAACCCACAACAUUACUCAGCAUGUUGUACCCUUUUUCGAAAAAGUAACAUAUAUACAUGCAUGUUGCAUAUAAUAUGAAGGGGAUUAAGUGGGUAAAGAGGAGGAUAUGGGAUUAAACUUUUCCAUGGGCAUGCAUGAUGCAUGGUGAUCACCAGUUUUAGCCUCUAUACAAGCAGCCUUUUUUUCAAAGCUGAUGUGUCAUGUGGUGAUACCCCGGAUUAAACAAACUAUUUAGUGGGAUUCAACUACAUUCCUUUGGUGUGCAUGCAUGGGUGGCUAACACUUGUGCUUACAAAAGAGUCAUCGUGUCAACCCAAAAUCGAACCCAAUUUGGAUUUAAUCCACUCUGGAUUUCUUACCAUUUUUGUGGUGGGGAAUUGAUCGAUUGAUGGAUAUGACAGAAACAAUGUAAGCUGACAAAAGUACCAUAGCAUGGGUGCCCAAGGACAUGAUCUUAGCAAAAAUUUGGUGCCGACAAUCUUUAUAGUGAGAUAGAUUUUUUUCAUUCAUCUUUUAUUAGAGAAUUUAAAAAUUAUAUAAAUGGCAGAUAGAAAGAUCUCGCGUGCGAGAAUUGUUCCUAUCGAUUUUUUUUGAAUUAAUUAGGAGGGACAUCAUUCUUCUCUUAUCUGAAAUAGUUGAACAUAUCUUGUACCAUUAGGUCUCUUCUGUGUUUUACUAAUAUCGUAACAGAUUGUUUGAUUCUUAGAAAAAGCAUGAAAAAUUUUUAUGAAAAAUUUUAUUUUAGUUCUUUGCAUUUUUCAUAUUUUUUUUAAAAUAAAAAUGCUAAUUUUUCAUUAAAUCUAAAAAAAAUCAAAAAUUAUUUUUUUUCUAGGAACCAAAGAGCGCCAUAAAUGAUAGUUUAUUUGCUAUAAAUUUAGUUUUCUUUUUAUGAUUUCUAUCUAGAAAAUUUUUUUUUUCCUACUCUCAUACAAGGUGUGACUAUAUAGUCAAUAUCUAUAAUUAGAACAAAAAGAUUUUUUUCUUUUUUGAGAGAGAGCUAGCAAAUUAACUACUUUGUUCAUUUUUUUAUAAUAAACCUGGCUAGAAAUUCAUAACCUACGAAAAGAUUAAUAACUACAAAGAGAGCAAAAAGAAAUUAAUAACCUACAAAAUAAUUUCUCUUAUUCCAAAAUAAUAUACAGUACACUAUUAUAAACACCCAACAAAUACCCCAAAGCUACCAGUUUUUUUGCAACACCUUGAAUGAAUAAAAUUAAAGGAGUGCCAAAUAAGGUACUUCUGCAUCCAAACAUAUGCUUUAAUUAGGCAUGACUCUUACUGCUAACAAGUACUUUGUAGUUAAUGUGUUGACACUCAUAAUAAAGAAUUAAAUGAAAAUAUUAGGUAAGAUAUGUACUUAAUUCCGCGACCAAACAUGCACUUUAGGCAUGCAUGAGUGUACAUCCUCUUGUUUCUGAAGAAGAGUACAAUAUAGUUGGUGUGUUAGUACUCAUAAGGAGGAAUUAAAUAACAUUAGGAGUUGAUUAGAUUCGAACUCAGAACUUUUUGAUCUAGUUCCAUGUUAAAGUUUAGUGAAACAACAACCAUUUAUCUCUUGACGUUUAAACUAUUAAAAAGAUAAUUAUUUUAUAAUUAUAUUCAUAUUUAAUAACAGCAUUAAAGGAGAUGUAAAGCACUUGGAUCCUCCCCCUAAGGUUCUUGAAAUGAAAACUAAGUAAUGGAGGGCACAUGCAACAUCAACAGUUGGCAAUCCACCAUCAGUUUAAGUUUUGAAAAAGUCUUCUUUAUCAUAGUUGUAUCGCAUAAGAUAAGUUCUAAACUAUUUUUAUUGUGCAAAAAAAAAAAGAAGUUAUAUAUAUGAUGUUUAAGGGGAAAAAAAAUCCUUCUAUUGUUGUACGUACUUUUCAGCAACACAGAGACCUCUGAUUGAUUCUCGCUAUUUCUAUAUAAAAUAACUGAAGAUGAAAACGGACUUAAACAGAUAUUCUGAAUUCAAAGCCAGCUGCUAUGUUCUUGCGCACGAAAUAAAGUUUUAGGUCAAUUUAGGGUUUGACUCCGAUCGAAUUAGGUAAGGUAAGAAACUUUGAAUAAACUAUUAAUUAGCUAGACCAAUCCAUUAGUGGUGUUAUUAUAAUUAGGAUCCGAAUAUCCGAUAGUAUAGAGCGUGCGCAUCUGACCCGGAUCUAUGAGUCCAAAUGGAGCCAAAUUUAAGUCACGCAUGUUGAAAAAGAAUGUGUAGAAAGAGCUCGACCAACCCUUCCCACAAGAUGAUCGAGCCACUUUUUCCAAAAGCAGUACGCACCUUUUUUUAUAUAUGUACGGAUCAGGUGAACGAAUAAAGAGGACGUGGAUUUCGUUUUCCUUUCUCUUAUUAUUAUUAUUAUUAUUAUUAUUAUAUUUUUUUAAGGAUCCAGAUCAUUGAUCUAACUUGGUCACCAUUACAUUCGUGGUAACCAGCUAGCUCUUGCGUACGUCACAUUCCACAACACGGAAAAAUUAUCUAAAAAUUAUUUACUAUGUUAUAUUCCGCACUAGUUAAAAUACAACACAUAUUAUUGAAUAAAAAAUUUGAAUAAUAAAUCAUCAACAAUGAUAAAAAAAAAAAUUACAAGGUGCUUACUUCUGUUUACAUAUAUGGAUCUUUAAUGCAAUAUUAAUGCAAAAAAGAAGGAUAGAAAUGUAUAAAAUUUAUGUGAAUUAUCGUCUACUUUUAUCUGAUUGUAUAACCUCAAAAUUUUUUUUUUGACAUCUAAUUUAUUCAAUUUGAGCUAGUACGUAUAAACUCUUUAACAUUGAAAUUUAGUUGUGUUAUUUAUCUAUACAGAUUUGAUUAACAUAUUUUAUGUAAUUUAUAUAGCUAUAAAUUUAUAAAAAUAAACAACUAGCUUAAACUUCAUAAUAACUUAAAAUAUAAAAAGUGGUGCACACUUCUAUGAAUGGGGGACAUAGAACAAAGACUCCACACAAAAGAACUAAUCAAUGUUUUUGACCUAAUAAAGUUUUAAGUAAUUGAGUUUUAGAAUAAUUAAUUUGUCUAAUCAGGUUAGGUCAGGUGCAUGGAAUUGACCAGUGUCCGCUAGGCUUCGUUUGGUUCGGGAAUUAGUAGGAACUAGUUAUAUCAGGGAUAGGUAUAAGUAUGAGUUUUUAUAAGAACAAAAAUAUUUUUUUGUUUAGAUAAAAAUAUGAGUAUAAGCUAGAACUAGAAAAAUUGCGUUUGGAUUGUUAUUUGGAAUCAGAGAAAUAGUUGAUGGUUAUAAAUAAAAAAUAAUGAUAUUACCCUAUAAUUGAAUUUAAAUGUUUAAAUUUUAAACUUAUAAUUUUAAAUUGAAAAUUUUAACUUUUAAAAUUUUAAAUUUUAAAUUAAAAUUUUAAAUUUUAAUUUUCAAAAUGUUAAUUUUAAAUAUCAAAUUUUAAAUUUAAGACCAAAUUUAAAUUUGAAAGUUAUAAAAUAUCAAAUUUAAAAUUAAAAAACUAAAAAUAUCAAAUUAAAAAUUUUAAAUUUAAAAAUAUCAAAUUUAAAAUUUAAACUUUAAAAUUUAAUUAUAAAUUAUAAAUUUAAAUUUUGAGAUUAUAAAUUUUAAAAAUUUAAAAUAAAAAUAUCUCUCUCUAUAUACCGGGGCGGGGGCAGGGGGGGGGGACAAACUGUUCCCACCCAUAUCCGUACCGGAUAUGGGUACGGAUAUGGGUGGGAGCAGCUUGUUCCCACCCACCCAUUUGGUGUUCGGGUACAAGAGGGGCGAUAAGGUUAUCCCCCUCUUGUACUCAAUCCAAACACACACUUAAAGCGCCCCAAUACAUUGGGCUCGGUUGUGGGGCCCAUACUCCGGACCAAUAAGAAUAUGGCACGUCGGAUUAUUUUAUUUAUUUUUGGGGGAGACUCAACCAGGAUAAGGCCGUUGGAAAUGGGCCUGGUCCAAUGAGCUCGCACGUUUGUGCGGGAGGAGUCCGCACGCGGACGUUUUUGAAUAUGGGGUCGUCGUGUCGGGUGAAUUGCGGGCGCCGGUUCCGCAUAAUUCAAGAAUAUGCUAAUGUUGUUUAUGUUUAUAUUUAGGAUAAGCUUCAUAUAUCAUCCUCGUGAUUUCGCGCUUUCUUACUAUGGUAUCAUAUAGUUUAAAGUGUAUCAAGUUAGUGUUCUGUGAUUUUAUUUUUAUCUUUUUGUCAGCUUUUUCGUUAAUAUUUCGUUAAGUUAUAUACAAAAAACUUCAGAUACACUAUCUAGAUUUAUCGAAUAUUCACUUUUGUACACUUUAGUUUUAACUUUGUCACUGCUUUAAAGAAAAAAAUUAGUAGAAUCAAUAAUAAUGAGGUAAAAAUAAAAUUAACCAUAAGGCACUAAAUUGAUACACUUUAAAUCACAGAGUACUAAAGUGAGAAAAUGUGAAACCACACGGAUGGUAUUUGAAGUUUUUUCUUAUAUUUAUAUUUAUAUUUUUGGAAUUGUUGACAAGUCUAUGCAUAUUGGAGGAUCAAAUUAGAUUUGCUUUUGCCUUUCGCUUUAAAUCCAUGGAUUUGUAAGUAGAGCACUGAGCGAUUGUUAUCUUAAAAGGCUAUUGAUGUGAUGAUAAAUAAAUAAAUAAAUAAAUAAAUAAAUAAAUAUAUAUAUAUAUAUAUAUAAUGCACCAGGCUUAAAUGCGUGGCUCAUAUAUGCAAUUUGCGGGUAGAUUAACUUAAGAUUAUUUUGCAAAUCAAAUGGAUAAUUAGCAGCCUUGAUCGGAUCUUAAUUUUUAUUUUUUAAGCAAAGAUGAAUACGCCAUUUUUGCCAUCAUUUUUUUUAGAGAAAGAUAGCAUGCUAUGCGUUUUAUUUAAUUUUUUAAUAUAAAUUUACCUAAAAAUGUAAAAUAAUUAAACUUUGAAAUUGUAAUCUUGGAUUGAUACUAAUCAUUAAAUCCUUUGACACAUGCAGUAGAGAUAGUGGGUAAUCACAUGUAUUAUUAGAUUAUUAGAUAAAUAAUAUUUGUACUAACAUAUGCACUAGGCUCGUCACUUUAUAAAUUAUUUAGCUAGUGGGGGUGUUACCCUCACACAAUCACCUAGUGAUAAAUGAUCUUAUUACUAUUCGGAUUGGAUUUUCAAAGACCAAAAUGUUAUAGCAAUUAAAAGUCUUUUAUGUAGCUAGCAUUUUGCGCACUUUCGUAUGAAUCGUAAUAAUCAAUCAAACAUUCUCGUCAACUCAUCGUGCAUAAAAGUACAUAUUAGAAUAAAAUUUUCCUUAACAUCAUUUUAAUUUAUAAUUACCAUAUUAUUCUUACCUAAAUCUUUAAUCACUGUCCUAUAUAACUCAAUAAAGAUUAAUCAGAUAUAAAUUUUGUACAAAACAGGAAAAAAAAAUCUUAGUAUGUCAUGACCUUAAAGUACCAUCUUAACCUCAGGGCACAUGCCAUAAAGAAUCUUUUAAUCACUGAGUUUUUUUUUUUUUUUUUUUUUCCCCAAAAAAAAAAAAAAAAAAACCUCAGGCCACACGCCAUAUAUAAAGAAUGUUCCUCUUUUUUGUUUCCUUGAAAUUUCACCUCCCACUAAGAUGUCUCUCUCAACGAUAAGCAAAGGUCGGUAACAGUUGUUUAAUUAAUUAAUUACUUAAUUAAUCACUCUCUAAUCUCUAUGCUGUGGAAAGUAUCUAAAGAGAUCUAAAAUAUAUAAGUUAAUGUGUUAAAUACAUCAAAAGUAGAACCACCAACGUAGACUACUAAUAAAAGGCUUAUGUGACAAGGACCCAACACUAUAAAUGAGAAAGAAUUUAGGAGUAGAAUGUAUGUAGUGCUCCUUCUUUAUAAGAGGUGGGACUAAUCAAGGAUACAUUUAAUAUAUAAUCUUUGGCACCAUAAAAAGUCAUAUAUUGAUGUAAAUGGAUAAUAUAUGCAUGUUGUGGUUUGAAGCUCAAAACAUAUAGAAUUAGAAUUAAUUGCCACAUAGGAGGCUACGUACCUCAAAGGACCUGUUUCUUGUGCUGAUGUAUCUUAAAUCCAUUGGGACCAAAAUGAGGAUCACAUGCCCAUGUCAGCUGAGUCAGCUUAAGCUUAAUUAUGUGGUUGGUUUUAAAGAAACUGAAAUUCCAGUGAAAAUUAAUCAAAGUGUAUGUAAUCGCAACUUGAGUUUCUACAAAAUGAUUUGUCAACGCUUUUGUCGUCUGUUUAAAUGCAAGUAGUGACUAUGUUUCAAUUAAUACUCCACGAAAGUGAGAGCAGUUCAUGUUGGUUGUUUUAUCGAGUUUUGAACUCAAAAUCUACGAUUCUGAUUUCAUAUUAAAUAGUGUGAAAUAACCAUUUGUCUCAAAUGGCUUAAAUUAUUGGAGAAUUAAUAGGAUUUCAACUCAUUAAGUUUAUAUUUAUUUUCAUCAAUUUUCGUUAUGUAACAGAAAAGGUCGUGUAUGUUAGAUCUCACUUCAUAGUUGCGUAUUAAAACAGUGGUUAUUUCUUUGUUUAAGUAAUUAUAAAACAAAGGAUAUUACGUCUUAAUUAAGGGCAUUGGGCACAAAGUAGCUUUAAGAAUCAUUCUCUUCGCACAUUGAAUGGGGAAAGAGUAUGAGCCAAUUUUAUAAAACUGAAUUUAAUACAAAACUAUAAUAUCUGUGCAAGAGACUAUAAACCUACGUAAAGUAGACCUCUUGUGUGUGUGUAUAUAUAUAUAGAAUUAUGCUACUAUACUAUCAAUAGUACCAAGCCCUUGGUACUAUUGAGUUUCAGUCGUUGGAUGAAAAGAUGUGCGGUUAGGAUGAUAGUGGUCAUCGGUUAAAUUGAUAGUAGUCCUCUAGGGUUGAGUGAGUGGUUGGUUUAAUUAAUAGUAUAAUCUAACAGCUGGAAAUGAUCAAAGGAUAGAUCUAACGGUAGAAAACUUAAUAGUACCAAGGGUUUGGUACUAUCGAUAGUAUAGUAGCCGGACUAUAUAUAUAUAUAUAUAUAUAUAGAACUAGAUUGGUAUACUAUCGGUAGUACGGAGACCUCUGUGCUACCAAGUUGUUUUUAAUGACGCGGCUUUCAAAUCGACGAUCGGCUCUAUUAGACUUGAUUUACACUAUUGAAAGUAUUUGAAAAUUAAAUUUUAUAACUUUUUGACAUCAUUUGGUUAGUGAUUAAAAUGUCUCAAAAUUGACAAUUUUAAUAGUCGAUGUGAUGUGUUUGUGAAUUUAAUAAUGUAAAACAAUUCAAAUCUGACGAAAUUUUUAUAGAAAAUUCUUUUCACUAUUUAGAGUAAGAUCCGUACCUCUGAUUUUAAAUUUAAAUCUUUUAUCAUUAUUUUUUAUGAAAUUUUUAUUUUUAGUCCUUCAUUUUUAGACUACGUACUCGUUUGAUAGGAUAUCGAAAAAUUAUGAAAUUUAGGUUUCAAAUACUUUCAAUAGUGUAGUUCAAGUCUAACUGAGUCGAUCGUCGAUUUGGAAGCUAUAUCAUUGAAAACAACUUGAUAGCAUGAAGGCCUCUAUGCUACCGAUAGUAUACCGGCCGGACUCUCUCUGUCUCUCUCUGUCUCUAUCUCUGUCUCCGUCUCUCUCUCUCUCUCUCUCUCUCUCUCUAUAUAUAUACACACACUCGAUCAUCGAUUACUAUUUUUCCACGUGCAUUUAAUUGCGAAUGUUCCAUGCAUGUAGUCGUAUUAUUCUUCAACAUGCUUAUUCUCUCCUACAACCAUCACUUCCUUGACAAUUAAUGUGUAGCGUUUAAUCUAAUAUUGGAGCAUUCAAUAAUGGUAGGCUCCAAUUGAAAACAAAUGUUGUUCUCAAAACCAAUUGGAGUCCAGUAGUUCAACCAGCCACACUAUAAACCACCAAUGUCCCUUGAAAUCCGAUGCCGUUUAUAAGAUCGCAUGAUUUAAAAAUCAUAAUAAAAACAUGUUGGGAAAGUUCGGUGCAGAAAUACAAAGGUCCAAAAUACACGUAUCUAGAUUCAUUAGCAGAAAUUAAUUAUUUGACGUGGGUAUAUUCACAUGUGAAUUUCUAACAUAGCCGAUAAACUUUGAAUUAGUAAAUUUUUUCCACCAUAUUAUUGUAAACAAAGUUUUUUAAAAAUAUAGUUGAGCUAGAAUACACCUAGAAGUACCAACUCUUUGGUAUUUCUAAGUUUCUAAUCUUUAGAUCUAUCCUUUGAUUACUAAUAGCAUUUGGAUUAAAUAUUACUUUAUCUAUCACCAUAUAUCUCCAUCAUCUUAUUCUUAUAUCACUCCAUCCAAAAACUACAAACCUAAAAAUUCUUUAGGUAUUUUUGAAAAUAUUCUAGCUCAAUUAUAUAUAUAUAUAUAUAUAUAUAUAUAUAUAUAUCACUACAACAAAAACGGUCUAUAGCGACACUUUUAAAUGUAGGUACAUGUCAAAAAAGUGCUGCUAGCUAAAAUUACCGACACUUUUAAAAAGUGUUGCUAUAUGUGGGGUCGCUAGGUAUAUAGUGACAGUUAAAAAGUGUCGCUAUAACCUAAAAGAGUGCUGCUAAUUUACCAAUACUUAUUUAAGUAUUUAGUAACCGCCGAAACUCUAUCUCGUUGGCUGCGGUGGCGGAGGAGGACGACAGGAAAUGCUCUUCGUCUAGAAUUUCAGUGGAAUGAGUGAAGAGAGAAGAAAAGAUGAUAAUUGAUUUUUCUUUUUUUUUUCUUUUCUGUUUGUAAUCGGGUCAAAUGGACUGGGUGUAGUGGGUUGAGUAGAGUAAUCUUUUAUUUUUGGUUGGAUUGGGCUUUAUAUUUAGGCAUAAGUAGAUGUUUUUUUAAGUUUUAGUAUAAAUGAGACACUUAUUCAAAAGUGUUCCAAAUAAGUGUUUCUAUAACUUAAUUCUGUUGUAGUGAUAUAUAUAGAAAGAGAGGUUAUAUAUAGAAAGAGAGGUGGAAACACGCGCAUACUACUAUUUGGCAUGUGAAAAUGACACCCACAAAUAAAGGAGGAAACAAAGCAGGCACCAACAAACUUAUCACAUAUAUCAUUCACCCUACUACUUCUCUCUCUCUCUCUCUCUCUCUCUCUCUCUCUCAAGUGGGAGAAUUAGGUCAUCACCAUGUACCUAAUAGCCUUUUAGGAACUCUUAUUUUUUAUUACGUAAAGUGGGCAACAUAGGGUUAUCAUGCAUGAGAGAAGCAGCACUUUUCUUUCCUUUGUCGUUUCCACCUUUUUUCUUUUUUCUUUUUUUUAGUUGAAAACCCAACUCACCUAUCAUACCAAAAAAAAAAAAAACAAAAAACAAAACAAAAAAGGACCGGUUAACAUUUACUCACUCUAAUAUUAUAAUAUAUUGGAAAAUUCUUAAAAAAAAAAAAGAAAAAAAAAGAGAAUGUGACCGAUAAUUUCCAACAACCAACAAAGCUAAGGACAGCCGUACGUGGUUCAUCUUUUCAUCUGGAGUCGGUUUCGUUGGAUAUAUAUAUAUAUAUAUAUAUAUAUAUAUAUAUAUAUAGUACGUCUUUCGUGUUUUCGAAAGUACGGAUGUCUUCGUACUUGUAAGUUGUUUCCGAUGAUAGGACAUCCGAUUCGACGAUCGGCUCCGUUAGGCAUAAUCUAUGCUAUUGGAACUAUCUAGAAACCAAAUUUUAUAAUUUUUUGACUUCAUUUACCAAGCGAUCAGAGGGUCUCAAAAAUGACUAUUUUAACGGUCGAUGUGGCACGUUUUUAAGUUCAACGGUGUAGAAGUAUCCAAAUUACAUGAAAUUUUAAUAGAACAUUCUACUUAACAUCAAGAGUAAAAACAAUACUUUCGAUUUGAAAUUUGAGUCAUUUAUCACUAUUUUUUAUGAGAUUUUUAUUUUCAACCGUUCAUUUUGAGACUACUCGUUUACUAGGCAAAUGAAAUUAAAAAAUUAUGAAAUUUGGUUUCUAAAUAGUUCUAAUAGCGUAGAUCAUGUCUAAUGGAACCGAUCGCCGAAUUGGACAUCCCACCAUCGAAAACAACUUACAAGCACGGAGGCCUCCGUACUUUCGAAAGCAUAGGAGCCUAGCUCUGUUAUAAUAUUGUGAGAAUGCUGUAUAUUUUAUAUUUGAAUGGCAUGUUUGUUCUUAACUUAAGAAGUCAUUUGGGUUUGAAGGUUGUGAAGAACUAGUAUAUUAUUAUUAAUAAACUAUUAAUAAUUCUCAUCAAGUAUGAAAAGAAAAGUAUUUUCUAAUUCAUGAUAACUUAGGUAGUAUUUUUACAACCUAGAAAUUUACAAUAAUUUUAUUACUUUGUUAACACUUUUUAUACCUGCCCAAUUUGAGUUGAAUUGCAAUGAUCAUUAAUAUUUUUAAUAAAAAAUAUGAAGAAUUAUUGUAAUAUUACAAAUUGUGAAUCAAACAGACUCUAAAAAUAUUACAGAGAGCGGGUUAUAAGGCACUUUCCUUUUCUUUCUCUUUCUUUCUUUCUCGGUCAGAUCUAGCCACUGUGACCGAGAUCUAUCCAAGAUCAGGGGUACUUAAUUUUCAUCUUCUUUUGAUUUUUGUUAGCUUUUUUUUUAAUGUUUCCUUUCUUUUUCUUCUUUCUUUCUUUUUUUCUUUUUUUUUUUUCUCUUCAAUGAGUUUGUGAUCUCUCACGUUUCCGUUUAAAUUCAUUAUACAUGUGUAGUUUUUUAUUCGUAGUCCCCAUAAUUUUGAGAGAUAAUUGCAUUUUUACUUGCUGGUGUUGAGUAAAAUAAUUAUAAUUUUAUCUGUAACAUUUUUAUUUUAUAUAUAUAACUCAAAUUAGUGUAUAUUACAUGCCAUAAUUAAAUUUAUUAAGACUAAACUACAUUUUUGGCCCUCAAACUAUGAGGUGAUCGAGCUCUAUUUAGUUCCUCAUAUUUUAAUUUGUUAUAAUUUUUUGUUCGAACUUCUGAAUUAUUAUAAUUAAAUCUAACAAUCUAAUUAAGUUUAUUAAAUAUUAUUGAUGUGUUGCUAGAGUGUGGAAGUCACAUAAUAAUAUUAUGAUUAAUGACACGAUAAUAAUUAAGAUACGAUAUCACUUCCACAUUCACGAUAUAUUAAUAUUUGGUCAACUAAAUUAGAUUAUAAUUUUUCUCAUGUUAAACCAUUUAAACCACAAAAACAUGCGAAAGUUUUAAAAAGUCAAUCUGACCAUGGAGAUCGUCAAACCUAACAUUCAUUACUGCACUUAUGGACGAUAAAUUUGACGAUCUAACAGUGACAAUCACAUAACGCAUAUCCACAUAUCUGAGCUCGACUAAAGGUAUUAGGUCAAACUCGAGUAAUAAACGAGCUAUAUUUUUGUUUGAAGCGUGUUCUAAAUAUGGCCUAGCUCGUUCCGUAUUGUUGCCGUUUCCUGUAAAAAAAUACUCCUUUUGCACCUAUAAUUAAGUACAAAUCCAAAAACUACUUUAAUUCUAAUUCGCACAUAUAAAUAAGUAUAAAUCCAAAUACUACUUUUGCACCUAUAAAUAAGUAUAAAUCCUACACCUAUAGUAUUCUAGAGUUCACAAAAAUUUAAAUAUAUUUUAGUUUAAAAUAAUAUUGAAAAGACUAAAGAGAGAAUAUGAAGCAUUGAAUGAGUGAGUCAGUGAUGUGCAUAUUUUAUGGCCUAGUCUAGAAAUGUAAAGAUAUUUUUUUUUUGAAUACUAAUUUUAUGUAAUUUGAUAUGUUCGAGAAAAGACAUUUCUUUUCUUGUUGUAAUUGAUUAGCUUAUAAUUAUAGAUGAUAAUUUGUUUAAUGAAAUUCUAGAAGCGAGAAAAUAUUUUGAAAUAUUUUUGUCGUCAAAUAAAUAUUUUAGAUAAAAUAGUUGCACGCAAUCCAUAUAUUAUUCACUCCUAAGUCCUAGCCUCCAUUUAUAUAUAUAAAUUUUAUUCAAAAAAAUAGAAAAUAAGCACGAGAGAUCCUAAUUAACUCGAGAAAUUAGGUGAAAUGCAUUGUCAGAUAAACUGUUUUUUUUUGUUUUUUUUUUUGGGUGGGUUUUGUUUUUUUAAGGUUACAUCGGGGGCAGCGUCAUGUGAUGUGGACUGAAUCUGGCAUGUCUCUGUGUGGUGCCCAGCACGUGGAAAAAUUUUAGAAUGCAACGAGUAUACGGGUGACUUGGCAUAACAAAUCAAUCAAAUAUUUUCUUUUAAAAAUAUAUGUCCCAUCAUAAUUAUAAACAAAUAUUUUUUUUAUACUUUUAUUUGAAAAGAAGAAAUAUAAUUGGUUUGUUACGGGUAACAUGAUGCAAGCGUGACAGUAUAGAAUUCCUCCCAGCACGUGAGAAAUGAUGAGAUCGCUUAUAAUUAAUUAAAUUUAUUAGAUCCUUCUUAGAUUUGAUUAAUUCUUUCCAUCACAUCUUUGUAAGAUUUGGCUAUGGUUUCGUUUGGAAUUGCGGAGAGAUUGAGUUACAUGCUGUGAGAAACGACGAUAAAAAAAUAUUCUAUUUGUUUCCGUAUGUAAUAUUGUGUUCUACAUAUUGCGGUUAGUAGGUUACGAUAUAUUUUCUACGAUUUUAUAGAAAAACGCAGAAACAUAUGCUUUUUUUUAACUCUAUUAUAUCUAAUAGCGUUUGAUAGACCUUAAUACCAAACUAAGCCUACGUCGGGUGACGCGUCAUAAACUAAACAUCCGAGCUCGUAGAAUCCGAACCCGAGAAAAAAGAAAAGACAAAAAGAAAAUCCUUUUAUUGAAUGUCAUGCGAGAAAUGGCUCUUGAGUUAUAUAUAUUCUUAUAUAUACUUUCCUCAUUUUUUUUCCAUCUAUAAUGAAUUGUAUAAAAAAUUACCUUACAUCUUUAGAUUUCAUACUCGCCAAACAUUUUCGUCGAUAUAUGCAUGACUAAGUUUGAUUUGACUUGAAUAAGUCGGAUCCGAUUUGCCGCAAAUAGGUCAACCUCAAUCUCCCAAGCAAUUGGUAUCAGAGUCGAUUAUUUGAAGAUCUUAUAGAUAUUCUUCUUGCUAGUGUGGUGAGAAAUUGUUCGAUAUUUUCAUAUAAAAGAACAGAGAAUUUUGUCCAACAAUAAGAAUUUUAAUAGAGUUUAAACAUAACGUACAAAUAUUACAACAUAUUUUGCACAAUUGAAUUCAUUUAUUACCCCCUUAAUUAGUUGCCAUAGCUCUGCGAGGAUAUUCGUGCUUACGCAAUCGAAGAACUCGAGCAUCAUGCAUGCACAGUGAAAAAAAUCACACUAGUUUUGGAUUUGUAGCAUGUACCGUGCGCGAAGCGAUGGCAUAAUCAUUUUUCAGUUUAACGUGAAUAACCAUAAAGAGAAAUUACUGAUGUCAAACAACAUGAAAUGCCAUUAAAAGCCGGAUUAUCAACACUACUUAUAAACAGGUUAAUGAACAACAGGAACCGAAUGGUCGCAACCUCAAGAGCCUACAUAACUAUAACUUAAAUCUUAAGAGCUGCAUCCCUCCAGGUCCACAAACAAGUUCUACCACAUUCCUAAGCCCCCAACUCAGCAGCUUCUCCGUCCCGCGAAUUUAUGUUUCCCAUGCAUGAAUACAUUCGCUAACUCGACCGGUAACAGCUUAUCUUUUUGCAUCUUGUGAUGAUUGAUCGAUCAUGUUUACGCGAAUUCACCACUGCCAGGGCGUUUCGACGGCGUGUUAUGUCCACCGAAUUUGAAUGCCGAAACAGUGGUAUCUUAUGCCACAAUCCUUCCAUUCUAAGUAGCUUCUAAACCAGCUCGAUUACGGUGAUCACUGCACUCUAUCAGCCAAACCAACUGGAAUCGAUAUGGGCGAUUGCUGAUAAUUCUUGAAUGUGGACGCUCCUCCACCUUCCAUAACCUUCGUUAGCUGCUCGUUAGGUCGAAUGCUAUUAGUUUGUUGCAGUAGUUGAACAAGCGACAAAAAUAUAUCCAUCCUGGUUAUGUCUCUGUUUGCCUGCGUUGAACCGAAUGCAUCUAUUUCAGUAGGAGAGAGAAAAUGGAAAGUGGGAGUUGCCAAAACUUUUUUUUUUUUUUUUUUACAUAUUUUACCUCAACUAGAAACCGUGACCAUAUCUUGCUUUCACGAAUCUCCAUCACUCCCUUCAAGAUUGUCAAGCCAUAUCCACGAAUAAUGUCCGCUAUUUCAAGAAAGAACCCUCGUUCUUCACAAAGCAUCUGUUUGAGACACAAAAGAACAGAGCAAAUAUGUAAAUAAUACCGAUUGAGUCAUCCUGGAAAAAGAAGAAAAAGUCUUCGGUAGUAUUUUACCUCAAUGAGCAUCUGGCCAGGUGGUGUGAGGUCCUCGACUAUUAUAGGGCACACCAUGGUUUGACCAGCAACUUCAUAGGCCCAGGUAGCACCGCCACCGCUGCUGCCGCUUGAAUUGUCUUUCAAGACAACACCGCUCUCGUCACCGAUCAUCUUUACAUCCAUAAAGAGAAGUAAAAAAGAAAAGAGGGAAAACGAGAAAAAAAAAAAAAAAAACAGUUAUUAGAUAACACAUUUAAGAUUCCAAAAGCCAAAAGUAACCUAUAGCCAUCAACUUACUUUCGGCUCAUCAGCUUGCUUAAUUUUUUCUGCAUACUUGGUCACACUUUGUAGAAAUAGCAUGUGCUUGAUCGUGCGGUCCAACAAAGCAUCAAUGCUACACUGUUAUAUUAUAUAGAUCAAGAUAAGGCAGUUUGUAGUCAUUAGAAAUCAUCAGAAAUAUUGAAAUUUAUUUGGUUACCUUUGCACCAUUGGGGACAAUCUCCCUUAACUCCUUCACGCGAUCCUGUAUCAGCUGUCGGUCUUUGGGUCUUGGUCGAGUACUCUCUCCAGGCCUAGCUCUUUUCUUAACAACUUUGACAGCUUCUUCGGUACUCUUCGGCUGAUUAACCUUCAAAUUUCCAGUAUUCAUGCUGCAACUGUCAUCAAUCUGUAAAUUAAAAUGUGACUUCGAAGACGCUUCCUUGGAGGGUGCAGUUAUGACCUUAUCCGACUGGUUCACAACGUGUAUUUGAGUAGUACAUAAUGAGGGGCAACCUACAGUAACAGCUGUAGGUAGUUUGUGCUCUGAAUUAUUGCCAGAUGCUGCCUUAACAUUAAUAGGAACAGAACCAGAUGCCGGAGUCUUAUUAAUAUUAUUACUUCCGACUAUAGCUUCUAAUAAUUGUUCAAAACUCAGCUCAGAAAACAAGUCUUUCUCUCCACCUGAAAUGGAUCCCUUCUCAAAUUCUGGGAUGACAAUGUCAUCUAAGCAUUCCUGCAUGAGGGCGUUGGAACUGAGUUCAAAUACCAUAUCAUUAUACAAGUCAUUGUCAGCAGCUUGUUGAGUAGGUGCUGUAGAAGUGUUCUCGUUACUUCCUCUGCCAAGUGAGUUGAACACACAUGCAGUGGGAUCCUCGGUCAGCUUACUACUAAUCACUUCGAUGCAACCAUUGCCCUUAGUCUGGACCAAACCCGCUGAAACAGAAGCAACAUCCAAUAGAGUCUCAUUCAUUUGUGAAGCAAAGUUAGUGGCACUCUCAUUGGCAGGAAACAAUAGAGAUUUUUCAGGUAUAAGAACCUCGGAUAAAGUGAGACAAGUAUUUGGAAUUUCUGGAGUAAAGGAAGGGAUUUUGUCGAGAGAUUCUGCACCAGAUAGGUUGCCUAUGGAAUAAGAGCAGAUCGACGAAUUCUGAAAAUCUAGUAACUUCUCUAUACUAGGGAGGCAUGCUUCGUUGAUUUGAGAUCUUGUGCUGGAAAUUGUGUUGCAUGAUCCAAAUGCGCUACAGGACGAAGAUGAAACUCCAAGGCAAGGAAAGUCAUUCAAAGAAGUAACACUAGCAAACCCUUGCAUUCCCAUCCCUGAUGACAAUCUCUCCCCCAUCAUAGGUGGAUUAGUAAGCUCGCUGAUACCAGGUGUGUUUAAGUAGGUAGAAGUUUUGUUAUGAGAAAAAAUAGAACUGGGUAGUGUUCUAGAUGCCAAUUGCGCAUGAGUUUCGGCAUUGACUGGAUGUGAUUGGUUAUUUGCUUGAUAAGAGAAGUUCCCAAAGUUCAAAUAUCCUUUAGAUAAACCAAUAUAGCUUGACAUAUAAGAAUUUAUGCUGCUGCCACUGCCAUAACAUCCAAAAGCAUUAAAAGACCCCUUGGAGAAAUCAGCUGAAGACAAAAAGGGAGGUCUCAACAACUGUGUAUGCGAUAUUUUAUCAAUGUCCGUCUUGCUUUGUAGAGAACUGGUGCUAUUAUAACACUUAAAGAUAUCUCCCAAAGAGCUUGCACAGCCAAGUGCCGCAGGCUGAUUAUAUGUAAUAAUAUCCUUAUAAGAACCGUUGUUUAGAAAAACUGACAUACUUCCUAGUUGCUUAAGUAAAUCCUGAACUUUGUUGAUGAACUCGGAACUUUCAGGAACCUGAUGAAAGAGUGGAAAUAGAAGUUAAACACAAUGUACUUAUAAGAUAUCUCAUCUAAGAAUUGUGAAAUACUUAAAACAGCUUGUUAGUUUGAUAAAACACUGAGUUUUCUCAACAAUGUUAUUUAGAAUAGGCUUUUAAUUUUGGACAGCAUUCUUCAUUUAGGUUCUGUUUCAGCAGAAUUGCAAAUACCCACGGAAGCUAUUCCCAUGGGAGUAUUGGUAAUGUACAACAGUGGCAGAGCAGCAACUAAAUUCACUGCACCGCUGAUACAGCCCCUCCAAUUACAUGCUUCGAAGUUGUAGACACUUUCUCAUAAAUGUCUUACCUAUGCGGCAAUAAUGCCCCUUCAAUUACAUGCUUAGAAGUUAUAGACACUUUACUUCCUAUUCAUCAAUAGCUCUCAGUUCUCAAGUCAUUCUAUUUAUGCUCCUGUUAUCUUCAGAUCCAUGCAUUACCCUGAUUACCAUCCGUUAACAAUUGAAACAUCUAUCAAUUUGAAAAAUCUAGCACUUCACGCCAAUUAUAUAUUUGGCAAAAAGACAUUACAACAAUGGAAAAUUUUCCAUCGGCAAAGUCAAGGCAUUGAAUUAGUCCUGAUGCUAACAUGUGAUUUCGUAUCAGGCAGUUAUGCACGUUACUAAGGCAGUGACACCUUUCUUCUCAAUACUAAAACUGCUUAAGCCUAGAGCAAGCAACACUAUUCAGAGAACUAUUUUUGGAUGUUAAAUUAUAGUCGACAUUGUACAGUGGCUACCACAUUAUUUUAAAUGAAGAUGUCGCAACUUUUAGAAGAUAAUUAAAUGCCAACCUUUCUGGUGGAACCAAAUUGCACUACGCCAAACGAUGGCAGAGGUAUUACUGCAAUAGUCUGAAAAAGAAGGUGCAUUAUCAGCAGUCAAAAUAAGAGAAGUAAAUUGAGAAAGAUGCUUGUUUCAAUAGCUCAAAUUUAUAAAACCACUAGUAUGAAGAAAGCACACAUUGGUUAUACAUGUUCUUGAGCAGAUAACUAAGUAAACAGAUGGGCACGAACCUUUAUUCCUUCCAAGAACUGAUGUUGCCACCAAGUAUUGCCCUGAAACAAAAAAAAAUUACUCAUUUAACCAUGGAAGAAAAGGUUAAGAUUUCCACAAUAUCUACCAGGUGUCCAAAUACUUAAAUAAUCAAAUUGUCCAUGUAAUAACAAAAAUAUCAAUGAUCAAAACAAACAUAGUAUGCCCCAAAAGCGUAAAAGAGUUUUGAUACUCCCAUAAUUUUCAACUAUGUUCCAUAAACCUUGUCAGAUAUGACGGUAAUUUACAAAAAGAAUACCACUCAGAAUGUCCCUAAUUUCAAUAAUCUUUAAACUUCGCCAGUCGUCAAACUGAGAGCACUGAUAACUUACUACAAAGGAAAUAUUCACCUUAAUGUAAAACCUCAAACAUUUCCAAGAACUAUAAUGAUUUUCUUUCUGCCUAGAGACAAGAUAAAACGAGCCUGUACUUUCUGCUGGCUUGUUGGUCUUAAUAUUGCUUUGAAACCUUUACCUGGAAAAUUUCUUGACUUGCAAUGGGGUUGGUCUGACUCAAGCCGGUACCAUCAGUAUCAGCAUACAUCCACCGACAUUUCCCACUUACUAGAGCUUCUCCGAUGAUUCUGCACAAAGAUGAGAGGAAUCAUACAAUUUAAGGUCAUAAUGACUGGUUGCGACUUUUAUCCGCCAAAGAGGAAUGAACUUCAGUGAAAAAUAACAAACUGAAUGAGUAAAUUCCAGCAGGAUUUCCAGUACUGAGCAUGAGGUGAACGCUUAUUAAACUUCUAAACAGUUAAAAUAAAAUGAUGCAGGAAUAUGGCUAUAUUUUGGUUCAAGUACAUGUUUGAAGAAGGAAACAGAUGCACUCAUUUCAGGAGAAAACAACCUAACAUAGCAAUGAUUUUGAAGCCUGAACAUUCCAAAAGGCAAAAGGAGAGUACAUUCAACUUGACGAAAAAAAAACAACAGAAACUAAGAAAAUUUGAAUCUACUAAUAAAUCACUAAACUAGUUGAAUCAUACCCUUCCCCAAUUAUGUGGAAAUGAUUAAUCAUCUUCCCAACCAUUCCUCCAACUUGAUCUUCAUAGUAGCUAUCCUCCACUAUAAGCAACCUGACCAUUAGAGAGCAAUUAAUAUCACUUAAUACAACUAAGAAAUUCAGCAAGAGAGAACCUUAGCUCAAAAGAUGUGAAAUUUAGCAUCAAAAUGUUGAAUUCGCACAAUGAUUAUGCAAAAAAUCAUUCACAUUAGCAUCCCUGGCCAGUUAAGUAACUCAAAUUCAUGAAACGAGAGAAACCAUCCAAUUAAAAAGGUCAAAAAAAAAUUAAAUUUUUGUUAAGCCUACGCGUAGCGUCCAAAUAAGGCAAAACAAAAUACAUAUUAAAAAAAGGGUAAAAAAGAAUUGACCUCACCUGAACUAUAAAGCAUUUUAAAAUGGAUACUUGAACUUCAAAAAUUUCAAUUUUACUACCUAGUCUUUCAUUCCGUUUGAUUUCAGUAAAUGCCUCCCAAAUAAAUUAUCAAAUUUGUCACAAUUUGACGGUUUUCAUAGAAAUAAUUGUAGAAUAUUCACCAAAUAACAUAAUAUUUAGUUCGGUUAAAAUAUAUUUCAUCAGAGAAGUUAAAAAAUACUGUUAAUUUCAGAUGGGAACAUGUUAAACCAAACAUAAUAUAAGUUUAGAUAGUAAAUUUAAAAUUCAAAAAGUUUUGUUUACUGAUUUUCAAAAUGCGGUACAGUACAGGUGAAGUUCAUACUUUUUACCUUAUAAAAAGAAAAGAAAAAAUUGCUCAAAACAAUAGUUAACAAAGAAGAACACAAAACUAAAAUGCUAGUUAAUACAAAGGGAAAAGAAAAAAGGGAAAAAAAAGAAGCAAUUUUAAGCUUCAGGAAGAACAAUUACUUGUUACUUGAAGAAAUGGAACCCCACAAAGAAAAAGCAACGAAAAAACAGAGAAAUUAAAAAAAAAAAAGGAAACUCGGAAACAAAACCCAGAAACGGAAACAUCAUAAAGGAGCACACGAACGCGAGAGAUCCCACAAAUUGCUCGCAAAAACCAAACAAAUCCCUGCAAAAUGGAAACUCACAAAGCACCAAAACCCAACCCCCACACAACAGGAACCGAAACCGUGAACCUACCCCGGAUCGCGUCGAUCCGCGCGCCAGAACACCGCGUAAGACCACUCCCCGCCGCCUCCGCCGCCGCCACAGAGCUCGCCGAGCGCCUCCCUCAGCUCCGGCGGCGCCAUUACGAGCCCCCGCACGAAUCUCGAAGCAGCGGAAACCCUAAUCUCUCUCUCUCUCUCUCUCCCCGCUUCUCUCGAGCUCCUCUCGCGGAGUGGAGUUCGAGGAGGGAGAGAAGGGGAAAGUGGCGAGCAACAGAAGCGAACCGGGUUCGGAGCGCGACGGGCUUUGGACUUUGGACCGCUUGGGAGAAAAACCGGAAUAGAGUGGGCGGGGUGGGGGUUUUUAUAGAGCGGGAGAUGUGGGGUAAAAGAUCGGCGAGUUUUUGGCGAGGCGAGGCGAGGCGAGGCGCGGCGCGUGCUUCUGCCCUUUCCUCGGAGGGCAUUUAUGGGUUUUUAAGGAACAGGAGUUACUAUAAUUAUUAAUGUGGAGGGUAAGAUGGUAAAUAAUCAUUCUUGAGGGGUACUUCGUGAGGAGUUAGAUCUAAAGCUUAGGGUGUGCUUGGUUCCACGUAAAACUGUGGAAAAAAAAUUUUUGGUGGAAAAAAAAAUUUCGGUGGAAAAAAAUUUUACGUUGUUUAUGUUUGAUUUGUAGAAAAAGAAAAAUAGUUUUUCAUGAUAAUUGUUUUGUUGAAAGGAAAAGAAAAAUAAAUAAAAAACUAUUUAAUAUAUUUUUUAAUAUAUAUAUUAUUAAUAUAUUAUAAUUAUUAUAUAUGUUUUCUCUAAUUAUAUAUAUUAUAUAUUAUUAAUAUAUAAUAAUUAUCAUAAUAUAUUUAAUUAUUAUAAUUUAUAUUUAUAAUAAGUUAUAUUAUAUAAUAAAUAUGUAAUAUAAUAUAUAAUAAUAUAUAUUUAAUAUUAUAAAAUAAAUUAUUAUAUAUUUAUAAAUAAAAUAUUAUAUAAUAAAUAUAUUUAUAAAAAAUAAAAUAAAAUAAAAUAAUAUAUAUAUAUUAUAUUAUUAUAAUUAAAAAGGGAGAGAGAGCUAGGUUCACUGCUCUCUCUCUCUUGGUCCACGAGUUGAAACACACCUCGUGGACCGCGUGCAAAAGGCACAUCAGCCGCGCCAUGUGAGCCCCGUGUUUUUACUGUAGCUUUUCGUUUCCGCUUUGUCAGAGCGGAAAACGAAAAUGCGAGUUUUCCGUGUUUUCGUAAAAAAAAAAUUUUCGAGAAAAAUUUUUUACAGAAAACCAAACAAUGGAAAAAAAUUUUCAACUGAAAAAAAUUUUUCGGACUGCUUUUACAUAGAUCCAAACACGCCCUUACUUUUGGUUUCGGCUAUAAGCAAAAAUUGUUUAUUUCAGGAAUAGAUAUAAAUUUAAAAUAAACUAAUUUUACGUUUGGAUGGAAGUUGAAUUAUUUUCGAGAAUAAAAAAAAAUAGCGUUUGGAUAGAUAAGAUGAAAUAAGAAGAACAGUGGACAGUUAUAAAUAAAAAAUAAUGAUAUUUUUCUUUUUAUUCUCGAAAAUAAUUCAACUUCCAUCCAAACGUAAAAUUAGUUUAUUUUAAAUUUANUUUAAUUAAAAAAAUUAAAAAUAAUAAUUUAAAAUUUAAAAUGUUAAUUUUUAAAUUAUAAAAAUUAAAUUAAAUAGGGGUGGGAAUAGCUGGGAAGCUAUUCCCACCCCUAUUCUGGGGGCGGGAAUUGUUAACCCCACCCCAAAUUAAUCUCAUUUGGGGAUAAAGGGGUAUAACUCCUUAUUCUCCGCCUAAUCCUAUUUCUCCAACCAAACGGUGUGUAAGUGUUUAUUUGUUUUGAUCAACUUGGCGAUCGUAAUGGUUUAGUUUUGAUCAUCAGAGUUCACAAAUAUUUAGACCAGAUUGUGGAGCUCGAUAUUUACGGAGGCUAUGUGGUCUAUGUGAAUACAUCUCACGGGGCAGCGAGUAUGUGUACAGCGGGAAGUUAAACUUUGCCGUAUGGGCAGAACUCAGCAGCUUUGAUAGGGCGUGUUCUUUUUUAUCAAAUACGUUCAAAGAUCUUGACUUGUAGACUACAAUGACAUUUUUCACUAGUAUUAUGACUUGAAAUAAUUCUAAUGUUUAAGCUAGCUAAGACAUUGGCCAUCUCUCUAACUUUUGCUUUAUGCUAAAAUUUGUGAGUAAAUCUCACUAGUCACUAAAUAAUAAUGCUAUGAAAAAAUGUAUGUCCUAUCACAAUUAAGCUUUUUUUUAUAGUAAACAUCAGAACUUCCUAAAUUUAUUUGUGAGUACCUAAAUUUUUCGGAAUUUUGACUGAUGUCUUGUUUGGUAGUAUGAAAAAAAUUCCUCGAAAUAAACUUUUCAUGAGAAAUCUCUUUUUCAGUUUUCAGCCUAAUUGAUUAUAAGAAAAAUUAUUUUUUUGAAUUUUUUUCAUAUUUUAUGGAAAACUAGUUUUUUUUAUUUCCGAGAAGUUGGAGAGAAAAAUUCUCUCAACACGAAAUAGUAUUGAGUGGCUGAAAAUAUACUAUUUGAUGAUUUAGAAGAUGCAAAAAUACAAGAAACCUUAUUCAAUGUAUAUAUUAAUUAUAUUGUAACUACUAUUGUUGUGAAUGACUUGGUAGAACAAGUAUAAAUAUAACUCCUCAAACUCUUUCUCCACGCUAGGCUAAGGACAUACUACCACAAACACAAAGGUUUAAAUUGUUCAUAACUUCUUAGAUAUAAAGUAAUAAUAAAUUAUACUUUGAAUAUUGAAAGAGAUUCGAAUUAAUUAUUCGAAUUAAUUAAUCAUAAUGCAAAUUAAACAAUUAGUGUCUGAUUCGUCUCAACGAGGACUCGACCAAUUUUUAUGCUAAUAAUGAGCACAAGUGCUAGUCAAAAAACACACUCAAUGUAAUGAAUUGUAAUUUGUAAUUUCUUUCUCUUCAGCGAUUUUUAUUGCUGUAUUAUAAGUAAUGAAGAUGAAUUUGUAUAACUUUACAAAGCAAAACUUGCACAAAAUACAUGAAAUUAUUAUAUAGGAGGUCAUACAAAUUCUCGUAAUAUUUUUGCUUUAAUUAAACAAUGAAAUAAGAAUAAUUCCAAGAACUCCAAUUUGAAAUAUUCAAAAGUCUAUAAUUAAGGUGGUGAGUUCCUAUCUGUAUUAGCUGAGUAACAGCUACUUUUCAAUAUAAAUUAUGGGCUUUUUUUUUGAAUUUGCAAGUAUCAUAGGGUGAUUCCUCGAAAUUAAUUAUUAAGUAGUUAAUUAUGAAUUAAAAAAAUGAAAUUUAAUUUUAAAAAAUAAAUGGGAAUUAGAUGAAAACCCCAACGUACACCACCAUGUAAGAAAUUGAUACAUGGACCGAAAUUAGUUGAAUAUCGGCAUAAAAUUGAUGUGGAAUUGUGGACUUAAUUAAGUAAUGCUAGGAGUAUAACAAAAUUCUAAUACUGAACUUCCUACUCCAAGUGUGCAAUAACAUGUUAAAUUAUAUAAAUAAAUAAAUAAAGUGUAAACUUUAAAUAUCACUCUUAUGAUUUCGUACUUUCUCACUUUAGUAGCAUAUGGUUUAAAUUAAAUAUAUCAAUUUAAUACUAUGUGGUUUUAUUUUUCUUUUCUUUUCGUCGGUCUUUUCGUUAACUUUUCGUUAAAUCACAUNUAUAUCAAUUUAAUACUAUGUGGUUUUAUUUUUCUUUUCUUUUCGUCGGUCUUUUCGUUAACUUUUCGUUAAAUCACAUAUAAAAACUCCAGAUACUUUAUCUAUAGUUUAUUAAAUAUUCACUUUAAUACUCUUUAUCACUGAUUUAAUGAAAAAAAAUUAGUGAAGAUGAUAACAAAAAUAAAAAAUAAAAUCACAGAAUACGAAAGUGAUACAUUUUAAACUAAGAGUAUUAAAAUAAAAAAGUGUGAAAUUACAUAGAAGAUAUUUGAAGUUUUUCCAUAAAUAAAUAUAAUAUAUAAGCUUAAGCUAUUAGUAACGGUGUUUUUACAUUUAUAUUCAACAUGGAGUGUACACAAAAUCCGAAUUAAUUAAUCCUCAGAUGCACACACUCCAAGGUCCACAAAUGGUGAAGCACAAAAAACCACCCAUCAUUUCACAUAAUGGGUGUCUUGAAAAAUUGCACACAGCCACUUGCUCAAAACCUCAUGAGAUAAGGUUAAUUUUUUCUCCCUGUUAAACAAUUUAGCCCCACACAGUGUUGGAAUCUUGACUAAGGACCAUUGGUCAAAUAAUCAAAAACCCAUGGCCCAAUGUUUAGGAUGUCCCUAAGCUAUAUAUAUGUGUGUGUAUAUAUAUAUAUAUAUAUAUAUAUAUAUAUAUAUAUGUAUAUAUAUAUAUAUAUAUAGCUACAACCCUAUGCCCACAAAAAUUAAGUAGCCCUUCCUUUAUUUAACACACUUGGGACCACUCAAAAGUGAUUAUUGUGUUCUUGCUAAUCCAAUCAUAUUUGCUUGCAUAUGAUUGAGAGCCUAUCAAAGGAAUAUUUCUAGGUUUUCCUUCUUGUUUGUAUGCCUGCUAAACCCUAACCUGCCCAUCAUCAUCUUGAAGCUUGGUAAAGCUACUUGGGAGAGAGAGAGAGAGAGAGAGAGAGGACAUAUUAUUGUUCACAUUCUUUGUAUCUAUACACCUUAUACACCGCAUCCAAAUUCUGACUCCUGAUGCUUUAAGAUAAGAUGAGGCGCGUGAUUGAUCUACCGCAUAUAAAAGGUCUUUAUAUAUAAAAAAAAAAAGUCAUGAGUUUUAAACUUCUUGGACAUGAUCAAAUAAUCUCACAAGUUAACUAUAUACAAAAGGGCAUUUGCUCGAUUCAUAAUAAUUCAGUGUCCAAAAUUUAUGAUUUUAUGUAUGUAUGACAUAUUCGACCGUUAGAUUCUAAUUUUCGAGUCUCUAGGGAACAGUACAUGAGAUGUACUUAUGCACCUGGUACAGGCAAUACUGUGUGUGUAUAUAUAGAGAGAAAGAGAGAGGGUCCACCACUAUAGCUGCUACAAGCACAAGGAGUUCCCAUUAUUCUUGGCAUCAAGGCCAAUAAUUUUGUCUCCUCAAGCUUUUCUAAGUGUUCCCCUUUCAUCAUGGCCGUUCACAGCAAGGUCAAUGGCAUCAAAAAGUGUUGCUUUUUUGUUUUUGUUGCUUUUUUGUUUUUCUUUAUAUAUAUGUAUAUAUUCUAUCUUGAGUUCUCAUUUCAUUUCUUUUCUGUAAAGAGAGCUGGUAAAAAGAAGGGCAGGAUAUACUCUAUAUAUAAUGUGGAUGGUCAUCAAGGGGGAUCAAAAGGCAACAUAUAUAUAUAUAUAUAUCAUCUUUGUGUGAAUCCACCAAAAAUCUCCUUCCUUAUAUUAGCUGGAUCUACAUAUAGAUAAUAUUCUCUCUUUGACAAACAGGAUAGGUAUAUUUUACAUUUCAUGGUUUUAAUUUCUCAAAUAAGUAUAAUAUUGUAACAUAAAAUGAAACGUAGGUUAUAUAAGCUCCUUAUAUAUGCUACGUACAUUGGAAGUUAUAAACUCAGGAGUACUUCUCUCUUCUUAAUUUAACUAAUGCCCUUUCUGAGAAUGUGAUGGAUGUGAAAAAAUGAUUCGAACUAAGAACCUUGUACGUACUUUGGUGAACAUUAUUAAACAAGCAUUUACUUUGUUUGCAUUUAAAAUGUUAGAGAAUGAUAUUUUAAUUAAUAUUUAAUAUUGCUUAAUAUAGGGACAACUGUGGAAUGAAAAAAUGGAAUGUAAAACCCGUAAUUUAUACAAUCUGACUCCUAACUUAAUUUGUUUUUUCAUCCUUCACCAAUGGCCUUUAUUGCAAAUUAUGAUAAUUAAUGCAUAUAAAAUAAGUUAUAAGUAGAAUGCUUAUUUUUCUUUUGAGAAUUAUAUAUAAUACAGUAGAACAAUUAAAGCAUCAAUAUUUUUAUGUUGUGGUAGUAGUAUUAUCUCCUUUAAUUACUACCAAAAGAUAUCGCACUGAUCAGUGUCAUUAUACACAAAGAUAUCGCGGUCCACCGAACUCAUAAUAUUUAGUUGCCCUAAAUGGCAAUAAGGAAAAAUGUUAGAAAAUAACAUGUCUCCUUUGUUAUGUGGAUUUGCAUGACCCACAGGAUAUAAUUUAUGCUAUAUAAGUUGUAGCCUACUUUCCUCAUCAAAGAUGAUUACCUUUUAAAGUAGCUAAACAUUACUAGUAUUUAAUAGUUAGUAGAUACCCCACCAUACUAUUUGCGCGCAACAAGAAUCUGGGUUCUAAUGCAAAGCAAUGAAGCAUAAAUAUGUUUUAAAUGGUCAAAAUAAGAUUGGAUUAGCUAGUCCAAGUAAAAAGAAGCAACUGGAUUAUAUAGUAAGGCACACUAGGUAGUGGAAAAUUAUCUCACAUCAUAACACUUGUGAAAAAUGGCACAAACAAAAACUAAUUAAUCCAUCUUUGGAACAAAGUUGGUGCACGCUUUUUGGUAUCAGGGUACAUAUUCAUAUAGAUGCUACAUUAAUUUAUAUGCACUAAUAAGACACUACAACAAAUUCAUGAUUUAGCGGCAUUUACUCCGCAGUAUUUAUUUAUAUAAAUAACGCUAAUUAAUUUAUUUAAUAGCAUUACUUGAUAAAUACCGCUAGAUUUAAUAAUUUAACCGCAAUUUACUAUUAAUGUUGCAAAAUAGAAUAAAUUAGCAGUAUAAAUUAGUUAAUGCCGCUGAAGUUUUCAGCAUUUUAUAAAAAAUAACACUAAAUAUAAUAAAGUAGCAGCACUUAUUGUUAAAUGCUGUAAUAUUUGCUCCGCAAUAUUUAUCUAAAUCAUGCCAAUUAAUAUAUGUAGCAGCAUUACUUGAUAAUUGCCGCUAGAUUUAAUUAUUUAGCAGCAAUUUACUAUUAAUGUUGCAAAAUAGGAUAAAUUAGCAGCAUAAAUUAGUAAAUGCCGUUAAAUAUAAUAAACUAGCAGCACUUGUUACUAAAUAUCAUUACUAAUUAAUAUAUCCCUUUGUUUUAGAAUUAAAAAUUUUAAAAUUAAAGUUUAAAAUUCGAAACAUAUAAUUUUAAAAAUUAAACUUGUAAUUUAAAAUUUGAAAUUUUAAAAUUUAUAUUUUAAAUUUUAAAUUCUAAAAUUUUUAAUUUUUAAUUUUUUAUUUUUAAAUUUUAAAUUUUAAAUUUUAAAUUUUAAAAUUUUAAAUUUCAAAUUUUAAAUUUAAAACUAUUAAUUUUGAAACUUNCUAGCGCAAGUGGCAAAGGGCUUGGUGGUUAGUAUUCGAGGUCUCAAGUUCGAAUUUCUAAAAGAAAUAAACAAAGCAGGUAGCAUCUCAAAAAAAUUAAAAUUAAAAUUUUAAAAUUUUAAUUUCUAAAAUCAGAUAUUUGUAUUAGCGGCAUUAUAUUUAUGUGCCACUGAUAAACAAUUUAAAAUUAGUGACACUAAUUGAUUUACAUUGAGGGUAUUUAUAAUAAAUGCUGCUAAUACUUUUAGUAAUUUUGGCAUAGGCAGCAUUUGGUGUCAUAUAUAUGCUGCUAAAACUUUUAGCAGCAUUUAUUGAUCAUUUAGCAGUAUAAAUAAAUGUCACUAAUGACUAAUUUUCUAGCAGUGAGAUAGCCAAAUUGAAUAUAUGCAUGAGCUUAUUUAACAUUCUGAUCAGAAUAUAAAUAGUAUAUUUUCCAGUAAAAGGUAGUCUUUUCCUCUUUUUGCAAUGAAUUAGCAUGAAUAUAUGCAAAUAGUUGAAUAUCAUGUAUAAAUGUUAAAAAUACCGUUCUCUGGUGGUUUAAGCGUUUUGCGAUAAAUGGUUGUUUUACAGAAUUUUUAUAUGGUGUCAGAAUAAAAGAUCCUAAGUUCUCUAACGCCUAUGUCCAUCGAAAUCUUAGUUUUUGAUGCAUAUAUGCUAAGAAAAGCCAAUUUUGGUGGGCAAUAUAUAUUAGAAACUUUUUAAGAAACUAGAUCGUACCUUCUGCCAUGAUUUCGAUUUCUGUACCCGAUUUGUAAGAGGCGAUCUUUACUCGUGGUUCGUCCUCGUUCGUGAUCUGUAAGAAGACGCGGCGUUUCGAGUCUAAUUCCCUUAUCCCUGGAGAUGGAGCCGUCACAGACAAUUGGAUUAGGUUAGACCGGGACUCCCGUAUGUUACAUAUUUAUAUAUAACUUAAUAUAAGGAUGUUAAAUCACGUCCGUCCAUCAAGGACGUGUCCAGAUACAUCCUAACCGUAAAAUUUAAAAUAUCUUUAUAGAUCGACUUAAAUAGAUUGACCGUAUCUUUAUGAAUCGCCUUGAAUAUAUCACGUGGGCCACAUCCAACAUUAUAUGCUAUAUGUUAAAAACUGAGCUUACGUACAAAGGGUAUAAAUAAAAAGACUUAUUUACAACUGUAUAAAGAUAAAUAGAAUUAAUUAACCAUUUUACGUGUGUGUUCAUUUUCGUGCAUGCAUGUGUGUAAUAGAGACAAAGUGAGCAUUAAUUUUUUCCUCGUGUCUUAUGUACGUAUCUUUGCAUGCACAGAUCUAGAGGUACAAGGAAAAGAUCAGAAGAGCUGAGAUAUGAGUUAUAAUGAAGACAAAAGAAUAUAUAUUAUCUCACAAGCUUCCACUGCAAAGUCAAAAAACUCCAUUGUAUGAUUCUAUUUGGAGGCUAUAUAUAUACCCCUACGUACUCUAAAUAAGGGAGCUAUCACUUGAUAUUUGAUACCUUUUAAGAAUUAUAUUUGAUAUGUUGAAGAUUUGAAUCUAGUUUGUACGAGCAAAUACAAAUCAAAUUGACAAAUUUAAUAUGGAAUUAUAUGACAAUAAAUGCACUUUUUCAUGUUCAAAUCGUAUAGUGUUCUAAUUAUGUGUUUCAAAUGUGGUGAUAAAUUGAAAUUAGCUAAUUAAUACCUAUUGCUAGCUAGAUUGCGGGAACCGGAUGAAAAGUUUUAUUAUAUUAUUCAAAGAUCAAUCAGAUAGAAAAUAAUAUAUAGUAGAAAACGGAGCUUAACAGGAAAGCGAAGCAUAUAUAUUUAGAAGUCGCUAUCCUCAUCUUGGGGGGAACAACGCAUGUCUAAACGCCGUGGGCAUUACGAAACGCACCCCCUACUUAGAAGAUACUAAAAGAGAGGAAAACAGGUUGUGAUAGUGGAGGUUAGCAUUCGACGCACGUGAUGGACCCAAAGAUACACAGGAAAAAUAAGUUAUAAGCGGAGAAGCAACUGGAUGCGACUCAAUAUCGGAUAGUGUAGGGAGUGUUUAUAGGAUAGUGAUGGUUUUGAGUGGCAAGGGACCACCCAAUAUGGGAUAGGAGUGUUUAUAUAUAUAUGAACACAAACAGUGUUUGUAGCACCUAACAAUAUCCAUUUCACGUGGACCACCAAUUUGGAAUGUUUUUGGAUCUAAGUUUAUACACGUAUAUAAAAGUUUAUAUAAUAUGGCUAGAAUAUUUCCAAAUGUCUUUGAUUCAAUAAUUAAGAUUGAUGAAGUAUUUUGAGUAAAUUAAAGCUUGUCCCAUACAGGGAUCUAAGUAAUAUAACUUAGAAUUUCAUAUUUUCGAGUUAAUUAGGGUUUGUUUCUCCAUAUUUUUACUUCUCUUAAUUAGUUGCAACAAUAUGUAGUGAAUAUUUUAGAGAUAAAAAAAAUUGCAUAUAUUGGCAUAAUCAACUCCAAAAUAAUAAUUUGUGCCUAGCUGAUCGAUUAAAAGAAUGAACUCUAAUCUAAAUUUGUUUUUUUUUUUUUUUUGAGAGAUAGGUAGCACGCUACCCGCUUCGUUUAUUUCAUUUAGAAAUAAACUUAGCUAGAAAAUGUGAAUCAAUUAGGAUUUGAACUUGAGUCUGGGGUACCAACCAUCAAACCCUUUACCACUUGCUCUAGGGACGGUCGGUUCUAAUCUAAAUUUGUUAGCUAACUAAUUAAAUAUAUAUAUUUACUAUUUAGAGCCUUUAAUUUACAAUAUUUCUUAUAAUAUACGAUACUAUGCGAACAAUUAAUGUUUUUAUCCAACAUUACUAAGUUAUUAAGUUUGCUAGAAAAUGCAUUAAUUGCCAUUUAUAAUUGGUUGCGCAAAUGUUGUCUUGAGAUGGAUAUAUUCUUAUAAUAACUAAUAAAUUAAUACACUGACCGACUGUCCCUAGCGCAAAUGGCAAAUGGCUUGAUGGUUGUUAUCCGAGGUCCUAGUUCGAAUCCUAGUUCAUUUCUAAAUGAAAUAAACGAAUUGAGUAGNAAAAAAAAAAAAAAAAAAAGGCUAACUAAGGAAUAUGAACAUGGGUGGGAUAAGCAUUCCUUGUUAAAUAAUGUGAAAGAACCAUUGUGUUUCUUAAAGCUUAAAUUAUUAAAGAAUAGUAUAUUAAUACUUUAUAUUCAACAUUCUUUCUCACAUCUUGACUCGAGACAUUUUAGUAUGCCCAAGAUGUGAGAUAAUUAAACUAUAGAAAAAUUAUUUACCUCUAAAAGCUUCAACUAUCGGAGAAUGAUAUUUUACUACUAGAAGGAUAAUUUAUUUCCAGAGCACUGCUACCAAUGCACCAGUAACACUGUGGACCCUACGCUUUCUAUGAUUUUGAUUUACCCACUGGUCUUAUCAUUUUUUUAAUGAUAAAAAAUUUUAAAAAAUUUAAAAGUUUUUGAAUAUUGCAAGGUAUAAGAUGUACACAAGUCUCUUUAUAGAGCAUAAAAAUUAGCAUUUUUCAAAACAAACAAAUGAUGCUGUCCCUGAUAUAUAUAUUUGAAGAGCAUUUUUUUUUCUUUUUGUUUAUAUGCCCAAAUAUUAGCUUUAAUUGUUGUGCAAUGGGGCUAUCAUUAAAAUAGAGAACCAAACACUAUAAUGAGCUAGGUCAAGUUUCCCAAAGGUUGUCUAAUUAGAGAAAUAUGGCUAGGUGCAAUUACGAAGCUUGAUGCAUGUGGAUUAACUUUACACACAUGCUACUUAUAAACUCAUUGCAUACAAUGUCAAAUGUCACUAAUUUAAAAUUGUUUAGACAAGCCAAAAAGAAAAUUAGAUCUAAGAACCUCCUCGGUUAGGGCAAUAUGUAGAUGCUAUUUUUUAAAAAAAAUAAAAUGCAGGACAAUGAUUGGUUUAAAUUUCUUAGCCAUUUAUUUUUAUAUUCUCAUCCCUUUCUUUCCACUAAAAACAAUUAUAUAUAUAUGUAUAUCUAUAAACUAAGUGUAAAAUUUACAAGUACUACUACUUUUAUUUUACUAGUCAUAUUAUUUUUUUUAAUGAAUUCGAUAGAUGAAGUAUAAGAUUUACACAUAUUUAUUGAUGAUCUUAUGAAUAUUAUAAAACAAUUUUAUUUUUCUGUGGCCCCCACGCCCCAACAGUAGAAUUCAAGUUCGAAUUUGCUAUUACUCCUUCAAUCCAACAAUACCUUUUUUGACUUCGUUCGAAAACGGAAUUAUAUAUGUUCAAAUAAAGUAUUAAAGUUGCGUAGAGAAUCUUUAUAAUUAGCAAAAAUUUGGCAGGGAACCUCAACACUGAAAAUGCACAAAAGUUUAAUUGCCCAAAUUAAAUAUUUGGUGUCACUUCAUUGAUUAAUUGGUAUGUAUGAAAAAAUGGAUAAACUAGAUGCAUGCAAUAACUUUAAUUUUAAGACAACAUAUAAAUUAAAAUUUUAUUCCCACAAGGAAUAUCAAAAUAAUUAAAAAUUUAAGAAUUAAAAAAAAACUGGACUCAAUUUUUAUAAGAUAAACUUUAAAUACCACCCCAUAGUUUUGCAUCUUAAAUACCAUCCCUAUGAUUUAAAGUGUAUCAAUUUAAUACCUUCUGAUUUCAUUUUUCUUUUUCGUUAGCCACUUUAUUAACUUAUCGUUAAAUCAUACAUUAAAAACGUGAGAUGUCUUAUCUAUAGUUUAUCGAAUAUUUAUUUUAGUGAAGAGGAUAAUAAAAAAAAUUAAAAUAAAAUUAUAGAGUACAAAAAUAAUAUACCUUAAAUCAUGAGAUAGUAAAGUAAGAAAGUGUAAAACCACAAAAAAGUGGUAUUAAAAGGUUUUUUAUUUUUAUAAGCUAAUUAGCGCAAUGUUUUACCAGUCAUUAAUUUGUACACUAAUUAGCCAAUCAUACUUUUUCUAUUCAAGGUCCCCACGUGGGGCCCACGAACCAACCAAAUUGCAACAAAAGCCGAUCCAUCACAAUCAUGAUCACCUUCACUUUCCCGAAACAGUACCAACUACUAAAUCCGCACAUUACACUCCGACCAAUAACAACUUGUGCUCUCCCAAAAAUACACCCCAACGUCACCUUUUCCAGCUGUAUAGCAUAAUAUAUAUAUAUAUAUAUAUAUAUAUAUAUAAAAGCUUCCGAAUCGACGAUCCACUUCGUUAAAUAUGAUCUAGAGUAUUUGAAACUUCUAGAAAAUAAAUUUCGUAAAUUUUCAAAAUCAUAAUAAAGUCGAUCAAGUGGGCAUAAAAUGAACGGUCAAAAUCGAACGACGUUCUAAAAAAAGAUGAUCGGAUCUUUCAAUUCAAGAUCAGAGUUAUUGAUCUUUAUCAAUGUAGUGAAUAGAAUUUUCUAUCAAAAAUUCAACAAAUCAUGAUUCUUUUACACCGUUAAACUAGCAGGUAUCCCAUACCGACAGUUAAAAAUUGUCAAAUUUGUAACCUCAUGAUCGUAAGGUAAAUGAUGUCAAAAAUUUAUAAAAUUUGAUUUCUAGAUGUUUUAAAUGCUGUAAAUAAUGGUUAACGGUGUGGAUCGUCGAUUCAGAAGCUCUAUCAUCGAAAACAACUUAUGAGUACGAGGGCGAUCGUACUCAUAAUAGUAUAGUAGCCGGACUAUAUAUAUAUAUAUAUAUAUAUAUAUAUAGAAUGAGGCUACUAUAUUUCUGGAAGCACGGAGCCUUCCGUGUUUUCAGGUCGUUUUCGAUGUUGCGACUUUCGAAUCGUUGAUCGUCCCCGUUAAACUUGAUCUAGAGUAUUUGAAGUACUUAGAAAAUAAAUUUUAUGAUUUUUCGAUAUCAUUUGCCUAGUGAUCGAAGAGGGUCAAAAUCAAUAAUUUUAAAGACCGUGGUGAGCUGUUUGUAAGUUUAACGGUGUAGAAAUAUCCAAAUCACGUGAAAUUUUGAUAGAAAAUUCUUUAUACUAUAUAAAACAAGAUCAAUAUCUUUGAUCUAAAAUUUUAAUGUCAUAUUAUCAUAUUUUGUAAGAUUUUUAUUUUCAGCCGUUGAUUAUGAGCCCCUUAGUUUACUAGGCAAAUAAUAUCGAAAAAUUGUAAAAAUUUAUUUUCUAGGUAGUUCAAAUGCUCUAGAUCAAGUUUAACGGAGCCGAUCGACGAUUCGAAAGUCGCAACAUCGAAAACGACCUGGAAGCUCAGAAGGCUCCGUGCUUCUAGAAGCAUAGUAGCCUCUCUCUCUCUCUCUCUCUCUCUCUCUCUCUCUCUCUCUCUCUAUAUAUAUAUAGUGAGUCUGGUAUGCUUAUGGAAGCACGGAGCGUUCCGUGCUUCCACUUUGUUUUCGAUGUUCGGACUUUCGAAUCGACGAUCGGCUCCGUUAGACUUGAUCUAGAGUAUUUGAAGUAUUUUGAAAAUAAAUUUUGCGAUUUUUCGAUAUCAUUUGCCUAGUGAUCGAAGUGGCUCAAAAUCAAGAGCCCAAUAUUAAUAUUGGGUCUGGGCCUGGGCUGCGCCUUAAUUAUUUAAAUAAUUUUGGUACAAGUUCGAUCCAGAGCCCAAUAUUAAUUUUGGGUCGGGCUUGGCCAUAGUAUGACCCGACCCAAGCCGAGGCUAGUUCCAUCCUCAGGUGCUGCAAGGCGCGGGCCUCAGCGCCUCAACAAUACCAAGGCGCAACGCUAUUGUUGAGACGCGCCCCUUAGGCGCGCCUCAUAAUAUUUAAGUUAAAAUUAUUUUGGAUUCAAGUAUUUGGGUUCUCAGAUUUUGAAUUUGAUUCUUAUAUUAUAACCCAUUAAGUUAAAAAAUUCUAAAAGUAACCGAAUGAAACCCUAAAGAAAACCAGCUGCCCGCCCCCUCUCCCUCUCGUGUUCUUCCAUAUCCUCUCUCUGUCGAGCGUCCAACAACAGCAGCGCUAGCAGCAGGAACACGGGCUAGAUUUGCUGGGUUUAAUAAACCUAGCCAUCAUACACGGUUUACACUAUCAAUAAAAGGAAAAGGAAAUAGAAAAGAAAAAGUAAAUUUAAAAGGAAAUGAUAAGAUGUCGUCAUUUUGACUACAUUUAUCCAUUGAUGAAAAGCCAGAUUGGAUUGAUUUUAGGAAUAUAGAAGAAAAAGAGAAUAUUAGGUAUGAAAAAUCUGAAGAAGAAGAUUAUAGCGAUGUAAGCAAUGAGGAUGAGGAUGAUACUUAAAGAACGACCAAAUGAGAGCAUAGACGCCACAAUCACUUUUAAAAAUAUAUAUAUUUUUUAAUUUGAGAAAGUAUAUGUAUGCGUUUUUUUUUAUGGUUAUAUUAUUUUUGUAUGGUUAUUUGGAGUUUUUUUAAUGUAAAUGUGCCCCUCGCCUUCCCGAGGCGUGUGCUUCACGGUACGUCUCGCUUUUAGGCUUUAGGAAAGCUUUGCGUCUCACGUUUUUUCAAACGAUGUUGUCGUGUAAUAUUUAAUUUCUCAUUAAAACAUUCCAUCUUUGUUCUCACAGUAGUGGUGUUUUAAGUGUUGGUGUUGAGGCAUGUGAGAUGAUGCUGAGUAAAAGAUUCGCUUUCUUUUCUCUCAUGUUGGGUUCAGACUUUAGAAUGGAUUGGCUUUUGGAAAGAUUUUAUUUUUUUUUUUUUUUUUUUUUUUUUUUUUNNNNNNNNNNNNNNNNNNNNNNNNNNNNNNNNNNNNNNNNNNNNNNNNNNNNNNNNNNNNNNNNNNNNNNNNNNNNNNNNNNNNNNNNNNNNNNNNNNNNNNNNNNNNNNNNNNNNNNNNNNNNNNNNNNNNNNNNNNNNNNNNNNNNNNNNNNNNNNNNNNNNNNNNNNNNNNNNNNNNNNNNNNNNNNNNNNNNNNNNNNNNNNNNNNNNNNNNNNNNNNNNNNNNNNNNNNNNNNNNNNNNNNNNNNNNNNNNNNNNNNNNNNNNNNNNNNNNNNNNNNNNNNNNNNNNNNNNNNNNNNNNNNNNNNNNNNNNNNNNNNNNNNNNNNNNNNNNNNNNNNNNNNNNNNNNNNNNNNNNNNNNNNNNNNNNNNNNNNNNNNNNNNNNNNNNNNNNNNNNNNNNNNNNNNNNNNNNNNNNNNNNNNNNNNNNNNNNNNNNNNNNNNNNNNNNNNNNNNNNNNNNNNNNNNNNNNNNNNNNNNNNNNNNNNNNNNNNNNNNNNNNNNNNNNNNNNNNNNNNNNNNNNNNNNNNNNNNNNNNNNNNNNNNNNNNNNNNNNNNNNNNNNNNNNNNNNNNNNNNNNNNNNNNNNNNNNNNNNNNNNNNNNNNNNNNNNNNNNNNNNNNNNNNNNNNNNNNNNNNNNNNNNNNNNNNNNNNNNNNNNNNNNNNNNNNNNNNNNNNNNNNNNNNNNNNNNNNNNNNNNNNNNNNNNNNNNNNNNNNNNNNNNNNNNNNNNNNNNNNNNNNNNNNNNNNNNNNNNNNNNNNNNNNNNNNNNNNNNNNNNNNNNNNNNNNNNNNNNNNNNNNNNNNNNNNNNNNNNNNNNNNNNNNNNNNNNNNNNNNNNNNNNNNNNNNNNNNNNNNNNNNNNNNNNNNNNNNNNNNNNNNNNNNNNNNNNNNNNNNNNNNNNNNNNNNNNNNNNNNNNNNNNNNNNNNUAUAUAUAUAUAUAUAUAUAUAUAUAUAUAUAUAUAUAUAUAUAUAUAUAUAUAUAUAUAUAUAUAUAUAUAUAUAUAUAUAUAUAUAUAUAUAUCACUUUGUAGAGCUACUAUACUAUCGAAAGUAUAAAGUAGUUGGUGCUUUCGAUUUUUUGCCCUUUGAUCAAAAGUUCUACGGUUGGGAUGAUAGCGGUCCCCUUAGGUUUGAGUGGUCUCUCUAGGGUUGAAUGGUCCCCAUUGGUUAAUAAUAUUAAUCUAAUGGUUAGAAAUGAUCAAUGAGGUUGAUCUAGUGGCUAAAAAAUCGGAUGCAUCAACUACUUUAUUCUUUCGAUGGCAUAGUACCGCUACUAUAUAUAUAUAUAUGUACAUAUAGUCUGGCUGCUAUGCUAUCGAUAGCACCAAACACUUGGUGCUAUUAAGUUUUCUGUCUUUAGAUUAAUCCCUUUGAUUAUUUUUGCCCGUUAUAUUAUACUAUUCAACCAACCACCCACUCAACCCUAGGGGGCCUACAUCAUCCUAACCGUACAUUUUUCAAUCCAAGGGCUAAAAAACUAAUAGCACCAAUAGCUUGGUGCUAUAGCAUAGUAGCCUAGUUCUAUAUAUAUAUAUAUAUAUAUAGAGUACAAUUUUUGUGCUUUCGAAAGCAUGAAGGAUUCUGUACUUGUAAAUUAUUUUCGAUGAUCAAGACAUCCGAUUCAACAAUCUGCUUCGUUAAGUAAGAUCUAUGCUAUUAGAAUUAUUUAGAAACUAAAUUUUAUAAUUUUUUACAUUAUUUACCAAGUAAUUAAAUAGUCUAAAAAAUAACUAUUUUAACGGUUGAUGUGACACGCUUAUAAGUUCAAUGGUGUAAAAAGAAUCCAAAUUAUAUGAAACUUUAAUAGAAAAUUCUACUUAAUAUCAAGAGUAACAAAAAUACUUUCGAUUUAAAAUUUGAGUCUUUUAUCAUUAUUUUUUAUAAGAUUUUUAUUUUCAACGGUUCAUUUUGAGGUUAUUUGUUUUCUAGGCAAAUAAAAUAAAAAAUUUAUGAAAUUUGGUUUCUAAAUAAUUCUAGUAGUGUAAAUCAUUCCUUUAUCCAAUGAUCGAAAACUUAUGAGUACAUAGAAGCCUAUAUUCAUAAAAGUAUAGUAGCUCUAGGCUCUCUCUCUCUUUCUAUAUAUAUAUAUAUAUAUAUAUAUAAUUAAUCCUAGGGACUUGUAAUAUCAUCCCCCAUAAUUUAAUAGUUCUGUAAUUAGGUGACAAUUUAUUUCUAUUUAUUUAGCCACAGUGCGUGAUGUCACGGACUUAAGCUUUUAGCUUGCAAAGUCCGUGUAAUGCCUGCCUUCCUGUUCGAAGAUGAGCAAGUCUGUCUUCAUCUUACUAGUCCGAACCUCCACGUCUUCAAAAGCUAUGGUGUGUUUGUUUGGGUGAAAGUGAGGGAGAAGUGGAGAGGGGGGAAGAUGUUUACGCCGUAAACUAUCACUUUCGUUGUUUGUUUUGCCGUAAUUUUAUUACGGCCGAAAGUCGAGUUCAUCCAAAAUAGGAUAAUUGACUUCGCUCUCCCACGGGGAGAAGUCAAUUCCGGUGAAGUGCAAAAAGGCAAAGGAGCAUGUUAAAUUUGGUUAGGUAAUGUGAUCAAAUUUGGUUAGGUAAAUUUUACUAUAUUUUUUUGUCCAAUUUGUAUAUUUAGAAAAUGAUAAAAAAUAAAUUUGUUAAAUGUUAAUAAUUUUUUAACUUUAGAAUUUUAUUUGUUACAUUAUUAUAAUUUAUAUGCAAACAAAUAAUAUAAUUUUUUAAAAUUUUAUUUUAUAAUUAUACAUAUAUAUAAUUAUAUACAUAUAUAAUUAUAAUAAUUUUUAUUUAUUAUAAUUUAUUAUUCACUAAAUUACAAAAUAGACAAUAAUAUCACUUCGGAGGUAAGUAUACCAGGGGUGGAGAGCUACACAUUUUACGUCAUCUACUUUUUAUCAAACAAACAACAGAACUCACAGAACUACAUUUCCACAGUUAGAAACAAACAACAGAAGUGAAUUAAUUUUGAUCUAAACUCCACUUCAACCCAAAGUCCAUUUCCACCCCAAGUCUAUCUGCGUUGAAACAAACAUAGCCUAUAAGAGCAAGAAAGAGUAAACGAGAGAGAGAGGGGGAUAGAAAGUUUGUAAAAACUAAAUACUCUACUAUAUAGAAAUAGAAAUUACAGAUACAUUCUCUCUUUCUUAUACUUAAUUUUUGAUAGCGCGGAGGCCCGUAUUAGCAAGAUCGAGACAGAUUUGUCCAUCUUCACGAAGGAAAGCGGGCGCCGCACAGGUUUUGACAAACAAAAUUACUAAGUCUGUGACAGCAAGCUCUAUAAAUUUAAGCACAUAAGGUUCGCAUCCGAAUAUCUAUAUAUUACAAGAUUAUUUACAGUUGGAUAUUAAAAUGUUUUUUUUUUUUUUGAGAUAUAGGUAUCAUGCUACCCGCUUCGUUUAUUUCAUUUAGAAAUAAACUUAGCUGGAGAUAUGAAUCAACUAGGAUUCGAACUUGGGUCUCGGGUACCAACCUCCAAGCUCUUUACCACUUACUCUAAGGACGGUCGGUGGGUAUUAAAAUGUUCAACCUUGAUAAGAGCAAUAUAUAGUAGUAAUAAGUGGCACAGCCAAUUUGGCCUUGCGCAGGCCUAAACACUCUAGCUACUCUCGCGAUUGUUACGCAAUAUGUUUGCUCAAUGUUCAGGUAUUUGGUCUACACUCAAACGAUUGCAAAUUAUUUUAUUUGUAGAAAAUAAGUGUGUAUUAAGACGCAAAGUACGUGGGAUGUUGAAAUGUACUUUUUUUUUCAAAUAUAUUGAUUAAAUCAUUCGUACAAAAUUUUUUGUGCACUGAGUCUGUAAAAAUAAAUAAAUAUCUACAAUCCUAGAUCAAAUGAACUCUUCUUUCCAUAUUGGAUUUGAACAAUGGAAACUUGGGUUUAUAAUUAUUUUUGGUAAUAAUACUGGGCUUAUCAUUAAAUACGUACAUCAAAAGGUACAUCAAAAGGGGUAAGGGAAUGUUGGUCCACGAGAUCAUCCAUAGGAAUAGGUAAUUAAUUUUUUUAAAAAAAAAAUACAAAGAAAGCCCACCACCUCGAUCGGAGGGCCGAGGCCCCUCCACGUGGCGUGUCAGGAAGCGACGGCCCCAAUGAGCCCGGUCGCGUCCACCCAGGACCCCUUCCUCGGGCCUCGGACCGGCGGGUCUGAGCCCCGGCCGGCCGGGUGUCGGCUCGAUGCCGGGCGGUUCGGGGGCAAGCGGCCGGUCCGGUUCAGCCGCUGCCCCCCUCUCCUGCUCCCGGUUCGAGCCGGCGUCGGCGUCACCCUCGCUACGGACACGUGGCCUGGUCGAUAGAAUAGGGCGACAUAGGGAGAAAGCUCCAUGAACCCGAUCCACCGGCUCACUGAAAAGAAUGAUUCUCAAAUUGUCCUCUACAUCACCUGCUCAAAUUUUUGAGUUUCAGAAUACACAUAGCAGGGUUGCUGUGGUCAUAGGAUUGUCGUACUCUUAAGCCAUUUUUUAUAAUGAAAAUUUCAAAUCGACGAUCGUCUUCAUUAAAUUUGAUUUAGCAUAUUUGAAGUAUCUAGAAAAUAAAUUUUGUGAUUUUUCGAUAUUAUUUACCUAGCGAUCGAUAAAGUUCAAAUUUAAUUAUUUAGGAAAAACUUGAAAAACCCACCUUGGGGUUUCGCACUUUCUCACUUUAGUACUCUGUGUUUUAAAGUGUAUCAAGUUAGUACUCUGUGAUUUUAUUUUUAUAUCAAGUACUACCCUGCGGUUUUAUUUUUGUAUCAAGUUAGUACCCUACACUUUUAUUUUUUUCUUAAUGAAAUAUUAAACCUUAUGGUACUAAAAUGAGAAAGUGUAAAACCACAUGGUACUAAUUUGAUACACUUUAAACCGCAGGGUACUAAAGUGAGAAUGUGCGAAACCACAUGGUACUAACUUGAUACAUUUUAAAAUACAUGGUACUAAAGUGAGAAAAAGUGAAACCACAGAGGGGGUAUUUGAAGUUUUCCUAAUUAUUUAUAAUGAUUAAUGUUUGUCAUUUUCAAGUUUAACUGUAUAAAAAUAUUCAAAUCAAAUAAAAUUUGUUAGAAAAUAUUUUAUACUAUCUAAAUCAGAUUGAAAAUUUUAGUACUAUAUCAUCAUUUUCUGUAAAAUUUUUAUUUCUAGCCACUGAUUUUACACCUUUUCGAACACUAGUUAAAUAAUAUUGAAAAAUCGUAAAAUUUAUUUGUUACAUAUUUGAAAUACGCUAAAUCAAGUCUAAAAGAGUCGAUCAUCAAUUUGAAAAUUCUCUCAUCGAAAACAUUUUCUCCAUUUGCUUCUACCAGCUCACCAGUUCUUUACACACACACACACACGCACACACACAUAUAUAUAUAUAUAUAUAGAGAGAGAGAGAGAGAGAGAGAGUAGAGCUAGAAUACUUGUAAAAGUAUCACCCAAGUGAUACUUGUGUGUUUUUAGCCCUUGGAUGGAGAAAUGUGAGGUUGAGAUGAUGGUGGUAGGUGGUGGUAGGUGGUGGUAGGUGGAAUAGUGUUUGAUCCAAGGACUAUUAGUAAUCAAAAAGUAGAUCCAAUGGCUAAAAACACACAAGUAUCACUUGGGUGAUACUUGUAAAAGUAUUCUAGCCCUACUCUCUCUCUCUCUCUCUCUCUAUAUAUAUAUAUAUGGGUUCAUGGUGGACCAGGUCCAGCGUGAUGGGUUGCGGACAUGGGGGAUGAUUAAUCGUCCGGAUGAUGAUGAUGAUGAUGCGAUGGUAACGUAAUCAGUAAGGCAGUAAAGUGACUAUUUUCUCUCUCCUCUCUCUUUCUCUCUCUCUCUCUGCUCCGUUAACCUUUUUUAAUUUUUUGUUCUCUCUCUUUUUUCUUUUUUUUUUUUCUUUAAGCUUUUUCGGUUAGCAGCUUUUCUUUACUGCUCAUUCCUCGAUUUUUUCAAGCACAAUCAUGAUGGUUUUUUCGCGGGUGUCGCGCGACCAGCACCAAAUAACCUUUUUCUUUUUUUAAAAAAAAAUAUAUAUUUUUUUUUAAUUUUUGGGCGCUGGGAUCGAUGAGGGUGUGAGCUAUUUUUACCGCUUAUUUUUACGUGGAACCAAAUAUCGCCUAAGCUGAUUGUGCUCGCUAUAGCUAUAUUUUAUUGAGCGAGUCAGAAAGGCUGAUCCAGUUUUAGUGUCACCUCAAUACUGUUGCGACACUAAUUUUAAUACAUUGGUUUGAAAUUUUGGACGCCGCAGUAUUUCUAAUUAUUUUAUAUAAUUAAAAUUUUAAAUUUUUAUGAAUCAGAUUAUUAUUAAUAGGAUAUUGCUACGCUUAAUUUAAUUCAGAAAGAUAAUAUUGGAUUACGACACAUGUAAAAUUAUUGUGCUUGGUCCCGGCGAGCAAGUGUUUGGGAGGAAACGGAUAGAGAACUAGAGAGAGAUCUACAGAAUAGAGAUAAGGAUUGCUACUCAAGUUUUGGUGCGAUGAAAAUAAAAAGGUCACCGACCAUCCCUAGAGCAAGUGGCAAAGGAUUUGAUAGUUGGUACCCGAGACCCAAGUUCAAAUUCUAGUUAAUUCACAUUUCCAGCUAAGUUUAUUUCUAAAUGAAAUAAACGAAACGGUAGCAUGCUACCUAUCUCUUAAAAAAAAAGAAAGAAAAUAAAGAGGUCGGAAGAGGUUUGAGAGUGGGAAGGAUUAAUUUUAAAUUUUUUUAUAAAUUACAGGAUAAUCCACAACAAAUAAUGCAAGAUUCCCUCCCCCUCUCCUAUAAUUUUUUUUUUUGGAAAAUUCUGUUUUGUUAAAAAUUCUGCGUUACUUAAAAAAUUAUAUGUGAGAUGAACUAAACGUAAUGAUAUGAAAAAAUUUGUAUUAGAUUUUCAGUAAUCAUGGCAGGGCAGCAUGAACCAAACGCAUCCUUACCGUACCGUACCAGGCCACUUGUCUUUCAGCAUUUUUGCCUAACCAAAGUUUGUCUAUUGAGAUUAGCAUCUUCACGUAGAGUGCGAAGGUGAGAGCAUUUCGAGCGAGCGGUGGUGCCGGAGAGUAGAGGCAUUUAACUUCAGCAAACCUCCAGUACUGCAAAGUCGAGAUCUGAAGUAAACAACGAACUCGACAGUUCAGCGCACUCGCGACCUCUCGGAAACAAAACAUACCCUUAUUCAUAUAAGUGACUAGUAGUAACUAGCAAAGGACAGAUUCUAUCGGCCCAGUAUGAUGGGCCAUGCCUCAAUUUUGAACUCUUUUCGAAGCGAGCAUCGGGCCAACCCAUCUUGAUAUAUAUUUGUGGCAUCCAUCUUGUGAAGCUGAAUUCUCGAUUAAUUUAUUUUCUUAGGUCUUGUUUGGAUGCCAGAAUAAGUUAUUCGAAGAUAACUUAAUCAGUAUGAAAUUUUUUUUUGUGUAGUUAGAAGGUAAUUAGGAGUUUGAUUUUCACUCUUUAAAUGGUCUUUCAAUUUUUGAGUUCAUUGAAUAGUAUAUCUCAAUCACUAGAUAAUUUAUUUUAUUUCGAAAAUAACUUGAAUGUUGACUAUACUAUUGUAUUUUAAACAUUUGAUCAUGCUCUUAACUUUUUUCAGAUCGUAUAGAUUGUUACUGAAUAACUUAUUCCGACAUCGAAAUAUGACCUUAUAUAUGGAUGAGAUAUAUGAUAAACAAAUUGUUCGUCGGUCCCAACGGGCCCUAACAAAUUUUUUAUAGUUUUUUUUUUGAGUAAACAAGGGUGAACCCUAUUUUGUAACAAAGGAUCGAAAAGCGAAAUGGAACACAAUACAACUUCGCCUUUCGGUUGGACCUGGACUCUUACACAAAGACCGCAACAAACCAACUAAUUACGCAAUUACGCCGACCUGAACAGGACAGUAACAAGAAACCAGCAGAAAACUACGGGUGAAAAGGAGAAGGACCAAGAGCUUGGCAAAUUAAGGGUUCCAGAACACCGAAGUCCAAAGUUUCACCAUGCUGAGGACCCCUUUUCCCAGUUCAUCGCUUUGUGUUGUCCAAUCAUUGAAUAUUCUCAUGUUCCGCUGCUUCCAUAGUUCCCAGCAGGCUGCUGCAAAACACACAUCAAAGAAAGUAAUUUGCCGCCCCCUCAAAGACCCUCUUGCUCGAAUCCACCGAGUAGAUAAGUCGCCAGAAAAGUUGGACGGUAACAGAUGUUGUGCGCUUCGAAAACCCCGAGUGAUCCGGUUCCAUACAGAUCUCGCAUAGGUGCAGGAGAAAAGGAUAUGUUCUAGGGUCUCUUCAUUGCUAGAGCAUAGAGCACACAUAGACGGGCCAUACCAGCCCUUCCUAGCAAGAGUAUUCGCAGUAAAAAUUCUAUUUCGAGCAGCAAUCCACAGAAAUACUUUGACCCUCGAAGGGAUUUUUAGUUUCCACAGAUGCGGAAUUUUGCAGUCGCUCACUCCUCCAAAAAUAAAAAAAUCAUAAGCACCCGUACCGAGAACAUACCGUUGGAGCUCCAGCGCCAAUAAGUCGAGUCACCCGAUACGGACAGAGCGGUGCUCUGGAUCAGCGAAUGAAAAUGUGGCAGCUCAGCCUGUUGCUCCGGAAGUAAUUGAGAAGGAUCGAAACCCAGGUUGGCCCUAUCCGUGAAUCGGCGAAACCAGUUGUUAACCGAGAGAUAUUUAAGGCUCGAAACGGUAUACAGUCAAAUUUUUUAUAGUGGACUCAGUAUUUAGACCCGAACCCGACAUUUACAACUUUUACCCACCCACGAGCUCUAUUGUAGUAGAGUCAUAGUUGACCUGUCAAAUUUUUGUUAGGUGAAUCUUUUAAGCUGAUUUGCACUUUUAAACUUAAUACUAUUAUGUAUUUGCCCAUUAACUCAGUUGUAUCAUAUUCCAAAUCUCAUACCUUGCCUUUCACGAAACAUUUUAAACCCGAUAUGUAUUUAAACCAAAGACUUGUAACUGUCAUAGUUUAAUUUGAAUGCUCAAAAGCAUAUAUAACUCGAGCCAAUCUGGGACAAUGUCAACUCUCUUUUUUUUAUUUAUUAGCAUUAGUAAGGGCAUUUUUGUUAAUUCGUGAGAUUAGGGCUAUUCAUUGAGCUUAGUUAUUCGAGAACAACCCGUGUUUCGCUCAUAACUCGGCUCGAAUGGCUUAGUUAAUAAACGGGCCAAGUUUAAACUUAGUUCGCUCGCGUUCAGUAUGAUUACACGUGUUAUAAGUUUGUUUUAUGAGUGUUUGUGUAGAAGGUUCCAUCUGUUUCAACAAAUGCAUAAAUUUAGUACAACGUACGUUACUCUUUUUCUCAUUAAUCUAAAAUAAAAUUUUAUGAACUAUACCGAUGAGCAAGUGGCAAAGGGCUUGAUAAUUGGUACCCAAGACUCAAGUUUGAAUUCCAGUUGAUUUAUAUUUCUAGCUAAGUUUAUUUCUAAAUAAAAUAAACGAAGCAGAUAGUGUGCUACCUAUCUCUCAAAAAAAAAUUUAUGAACUAUGUGGAAAAAAUAAUAAAAGAAGGGGCCUGGGUCUUAAUGAGCCCAAUUCAUAUUUCCCAGAUGCCCAUUUUGGGACAAAAAUUUUGUGGGCAUUCGUGCCCAAACAAUUGGGCACGGAUGCGGAUGGGCGCCGCGUGUGUACGGGCGCCCAUCACCACCCCCCUUCUCCUUUCUCUCUCUUUCUGAAAAACGGUCGCGAUGGGCGCCGCACACCACGUGGCGCCCAUCGGCACUGUCCCCAAAGAAAAUUGUUUGGCGACCAUGCCCACCAAAUUUUUGUCCCCCAUUUUGCACGUGCGAAGCACUAACGGUGCGGAGAAGCCCCACCAGCAAAUCUUGCGGGUCGACCUCAGAAGACCAACUAAUGGGGAUUCUCUUCCUGCACCGGGUCAACCAUUUCGUUAAAAAAAAAAAAAUCAACCCCUAAUAUUAUUCAGUAGAAGGGGACUUUAAAUAAAAAUAAAAUAAUUAAAUGUAAUAUAGAAUAAAGAUGCUCUUAGAUACAAUAUAAGAAAUAUAUUUCUGAAAUAUGUUAUAUUGAGUGUAUUGGUCAUUUAGAUACUAUUAUCGAUUACAACUAAAAUUUCAAUUUUGGAGAUUUUAUGAUGAAUGUUCGUAUACUGGUUCAAUACAAUUUUUUUUUAUACCCGGUGAUCUAACUAUACAUUUAGACAAAUUUAUAUCUUCUGUUUAGAUAAACGUUAUAAUUUAAUGUAUAGUAAUUUUCUAUACAUAUCAAAAUAUUUGUAUCCCUUCAGUUUUAAAAUCUGCUUAUUUAAUGGUUUAUUUUUCUAAUAGAAUCGCAAUAUAAUUGAAUAAUAUGUUAUAAUUUUUUAUUAUUAUUAAUAUUUUAACUUUAGGCACCCUAAUAUUUCUACAGUUCCAAAAUAGAUCCUUUAUAGAGAACCGGUCUAUAGUUAUCCGGUCCACGCAAUAAUUUCCACCAGCCCAAAGAGGAGGGAAAAAAAAGAAAAAAGAAAAGAAAAAUUUCCCCCAAACUCAAACGGGUCUAUUUCCCAUAACCGUUAUAUUAAUUGCUUGGUAAAUAGCAAGUUGAUCGUGACGGGGAUGAUGCUAAAAAAUCGAGUUUUAACAUGUUUAACUCGCUAUAUGAUCUUGUUUAUUGAAGAAUGGUCUUAAUAUAACUGUUUUGUUCAAGAAAUGUAAUAUGAUUUCAGCAGAGAUGCACUACAUAUCGUUUGUGUGAUAAUCUGAUAACAAAGUACAAAAUUGCUACCGUUAUAUGCUUGUCGAGAUCACCAACAAUUUCUUUGGACUGAUAUUAACUUAUUAAUUCCCGUUCGCAGUUGUUCCGGUUCUCUUUGACAACAGCUUGCGACAAUCAACGGGCGAUUGCGCUGUGAGUUUCGACCAUAUACUUGGUGUAGAGCCGGCGAAGUUAAAAAGCCCUCCUACCACCACUGACCGUCCCUAGAGCAAGUGGCCAAAAGCUCGGUGGUUGGUAUCCGAGACCCAAGUUCGAAUCCUAGUUGAAUAAUAUUUCCUUUAUUUUUAAAUAAAAUAAACGAAGCGGGUAGCGUGCUACCUAUUUCUCAAAAAAAAAAAGCCUGUUUUGACGUGUCUUGUUGCAUGAGAAGUUUCUUUUGCUCUGUUCAUAUUCCCAUUCGAUAUCUCUUAUCUUACUCCUGUAGGAUUUUGAGGAAUACCAAGGGAUUAAACUAAUUUCAGAACUUAUGCAGGAUGACCAGAAGGAUGAUAAUAUUAGGUUAAUCACUUAAAUUUCCAUCUUUGUGAUUUUUUUUUUUUUUUUUGUGAAGUUCAUAUCCAUGUAAAGUUAUGGUAUAACCUAUUCAGUAUCGGACAUUUCGCCCUUCCUCAAUGCUCGUGCUGGUGCUUUCCAUGCUUUUGUCAGGCUGAAAUGCGCCGAAUUCCCGCUAUUACUAACCGAGCAUGUGUAUGAAAAAGAAGAAUCAGUACAUGAAGAUAUCAGGGAUUGGCUUGGGGAGAAACGCGCGUCGCUUAUGCGGACUGCAGGCCAAUUUGGCUCAACCCUUGAUCCGGAGCAGAGAUCGACUGCAGUUCGAAACCAAGCAUGGCGCAUAUUAGAGUCCUUGGAGCUCUUAACUCUUGAGAAUGUUAACAAGUAAUGUAGCAGCCUUAUAUGUUUAGAAAAUGGACAGGUCCUUAUGAAACUUUUAUGUAAAAUUUGCUGGUUGGCAUCAAUCCAUGUGCCAAAUUCUAAACUGUAUGAUUUGCAUGUACCACAUAUUCAUCUUGUCGAGAUUCAAUUAUUGCUGUACAGGAACUAACAAUAUAGAGAAUCAAUAAUAUAUAUUCUUUUCGAAUCUCUUAUGAGCUGCAGUUUGGAAUAGUGAACUCUAUUAUAUAUGGAAAAGCAACCUGAACAAUUGUGUGCAAUCAUCCUUCUAGGGAUGUAAAACUCCCUAUAUUCAAUCUCACAAGUAUCUAAACAAGAUGAUAUGUUGUAGAGAAUUUCUGAAAAUAGCAACAUCCGCCAAUUCAGUAAGAAUGAGCACACCUUACAAACAAACUUUUGAAUUGGGACAAAAAUUGUUUACAUCCGCAUGCAGGAUUGCUACAGGUGGAAAGAAACAAUAAUAGACAUCAAAUUGAUCAUCAGCAUACUCGCCCGAAACAGCUUGCGCACAGAUGAAAAGCUCCAACUCAACGGGGAAAAGUGAUCAAGCCUCACGAGGUAUCAACCGAUUUGUGCGAAGUUAGUCUCAGGGGCAGGUUACACUGCAAGCAAAAAUUUUGUGAGCUGAUACAUUUGAGCACCCGAUCCGACACAUACUCUGAUCAAUCUCAAUGACCAAAUAGUGAUCACGAUACAGCAUGGCUCAAGCCUAAAUUGCUCAACUCCCUAAUUUGAAGGCAUCAACAAACAGACCGAGGCAUAUGCCGGCUUUCCAAUAAUUUACCAUCGCAACCAAAGACCGGAACCUUCCAACAGGCAUCGUGAACGGCUUUCUGUACAUAAGCAUGCCGAUCCCUUCAAUCGCAGCCACAACGACACCGGCGACAAGAACGUCCCAAUCGCCAGUUUGGCCUAGGAUGGUUGCGAGAGCAUUAGCUGUGUAGAAGCCCAAGAGGAGGAGGAAUAUCUUCAUGGGAAAGUUCUUUCUGGCGGCGUUCAGCUUCUCAAGAAGCUGCCUCGCAGCAGCUCCAGCUAUGGUGCCCAACCUCGUCCUGCCAAGGCCUCGGUUCUCUCCCUCGAGGUUAUUUUCGUCGUUAGGGUCGGGAGAUGCUCCUCCUCCUCCUGUGUCUAGAGCAAAUGCAAUCCUCCAUCUGUAACUUCUUACCUGACAGCUACACAAUUCGGGGGAAAAACCAACAAGGAAGCCUGUUAAUGUACAAGCCUACUUCAUUACUCCAGGUAUUUCUGCAAACAAAUCAUUUUUGCUUAAAUGCUUGCUCAAGAGCCAAUAGCAUAUUAUUGUUUCCUAUAAUUUAUUGUUCCUGUAAGUGCAGGCCUAUAUUCUUCGGCAAUAAUUGUGACGUCCGAAUAGUCUCGGAUGGAAAAAGAACUGCUUAUAAAAAUAUAAGGACCAAAGGCUUCAAUAAUAAUAAUAACUAGAUUUAAACAUUUUAGAUUAGCGUUUUGAAUCUAACGAGCUAUUAAUACUGACGGGCUAGGUUGUUGUAUUAAGAUAAAAAACAUAUAGAACUUACCUGAACUAUGUACCAAUUUGAGUUGACUACCGAACCUUCAAACUUUUUAUUUUAUAACCCAACCUUGAAAAAUUUUGAUUUGAGUCAAUCAAUGGCAUAUUGACUUCAAAAUUUACAAAUUUAGUUGGCAUACUUCAUGCAAUUUUCGUCACUAUAAAUUCAUUAAAUUUGACAAUUAGCUUAAAUUUUGAAGUUAAAGUAGCGUUGUCUAACUAAAAUCAAACAAAUUGAAAAGUUCGAUAGUAAAAUUAAAAUUUUGAUAGGUUGGAUAAUCCACUGAAAAUAAGCUCCGUAUCUUUUUGCCUUAUAUCAAUCACAUACUGUACAAUAACAUUCUAAUGAAUCUAAAUGGAUAUGGUCACAUAUUGUUCAAUGACAAUCAUAUUCAUGAAUGUUAUCAAACAGCAAGCAUAGCACUCAAAGCAAUGGAACUUAUUAUUAUUAUUAUUUAAAAAAAAUCUCUUUUGCUGCAUCAAAUUACACAACGCGCAUGCUUCGCUAUGAAAGAGCCAAAUUUUGAUUAAAAUCAACUGUACCUUGGAGGGGUAAAUGGUCGUUUACACGUCACGCCCACCUCCGCACAAGUUCUCAUCCCACUCCCCUGCGCCCCUCCGCAUAGAAUUGGACAAAAUCGACAAGAAGAUCCGUGCGCUAUAACAGUAGCCGUUCCCAUUCUCGUACUCACACCAUAAUUGUAAUUGUAAUUUGGGAGGGAGAGAUAACGAGGAAUUAGGGUUUCUUACGAAAGGGAUGAUGAAGAAGGGGGAGAAUCGCCCGUUCGGGCGACGGAGAGUUUUGGAGGAGAAGAGGCGCCCCAAAUCUCUCAUCACUGCAGUGAACCGGUUUAAACGGUGAACCGUCGGACCGGCUCGGGCUCUUCAACCGGUCCGAUCCGCGCCGGUCGAGGUGGAUCGAACGGGUCAGGCUUCAUUAAAAGUCGUGCAUGAGAUGGCACUCAUAGAGCGUUUCGAAUUCUAAAUUUUAAAAUCAGCAGAAACUGCUCAAACCUAUUUAUUAAAAUAUGAUUAUGAUUUUUUGACUAAAAUUUUAAAAGUUUUAUUUUGAUCUUAGAUUAAAAUUUUAAAUUUAAAUUUUAUUUGAAUUUUUAAAAUUUAAAUUUUAACUUUGAAAUUUUAAAUUUCAAAAGUUAAAAUUUUAAUUUAGAUAUUAAAUUUCAAUUUUAAAUUUCAAAUCUCAAAUUUAAUAUAAAAUUUAAAUUUCAAAAUUUUAGAAUUUAAAAUUAUAAUUUUUUAUUUAAAAAUCACAAAUUUCAAAAUUUAAAAAAUUCAAGAUUCAAUUUUUUUAUUUAAAUUUUAAAAUUUUAAAUUUUAAGUUUAAUUUUAGAUUUUAAAUGGUUAGUUUUAAAUUUUUAAUAUUUAAAUUUUAAAUUUCAAAUUUUCAAAUGUUAAAUUUUAAAUUUCAAUUUGCAAAUUUAGAUUUUAUAUUUGGAACUAGAAAUUUGAAUUUAGAUCUUAAAUUAAAAUAUCAAGAUUUAAAUUUUAAAUUUUAAAAGUAAAGAAAGAUAUAAUCAUGCUUAUAUAUAUUUAGCUAAAUAAAAUAGAUAUAAAAAAUAAUUAAUAAUAGUAAUUUUUAUUUUAGUUUUUUCAAAUUAUCUAUACAUCUAUACAUAUACAUUAAUCUCCAUGACUAAAUCCUACAUGUACCCACCCCUUCCUUCCAAUCUCACGCAAAAAUCAAAUUUCACCUACCUUCCGAACUCAUGCAAGAGCCAAUUUUCACCUACAUUCCUACCUCAUGCAAAAAUCAAUUUUCACCUAUCAAAACCAAUUUUCACCUAUCACCCAAACUCAUGCAAAUAUCAAAAACCAAUUUUCACCUACCUUCCUACCUCAUGCAAAAACCAAUUUUCACCUAUCAUCCAAACUCAUGCAAAUGGUAAGCUUAACUUACCCUCUCAAAUUACACUAUAAAAAGAAAUGUGAGAAAGCAAUUUUAUAUUCAUCCAAUAAUAUAUCUCCUUUUUAAAUAUGUUAGCAAUUGUUUUUGCACUGUUAUUCUUGUAGUAGUGAUUUUAUAUUUGCUAGUCGGAGAAGUCGUAUUAGGAGAUUAUGUAAAUAAUGUACUUUUACCUAAAUAUCCAUACUUCAGUAAAUCAAAUAUGGAUUAUGCAUCAGGGCAAGGUAUAUCCGUGCCAUGUCGUGUUUGUCUGUUUUUUAUUUAUUUUUUAUUUCUAAAAUUUUUAAUACUAGUUUACAAAGAGUAUAUAGUUGUUUAUUUAAUUUAUUACCAAAUAAACUUUAAAUAUCUUUUAUAUAGUUUUUUAUGAAAAUGUAUUUCAAAUUUGAAUAGUUUUCCCUCAAAACUAUUCAAAUUUGAAAUACUGAAAUAUAAGGUGCACCUUAUAUUUCCAAUUUUUUCCCCUCAAAACUAUUCAACUUUAAAAUACAUUUUCUUAGAAAACUAUCUAAAAGCUAUUUAAAGUUUAUUUGGUAAUAAAUUAAAUAAAUAACUAUAUACUCUUUAUAAACUAGUAUUAAAAAUUUUAGAAAUAAAAAAUAAAUAAAAAAAUAGACAAACACGACAUGGCACGGAUAUAUACCUCAUGCCUGAUGCAUAAUCCAUGUUUGAUUUACUGAAGUAUGGAUAUUUAGAUAAAAGUACAUUAUUUACAUAAUUUGCUAAUACGACUUCUCCGGUUAGCAAAUAUAAAAUCACUACUACAAGAAUGACAGUGCAAGAACAAUUGCUAAACAUAUUUAAAAAAGAGAUAUAUUGUUGGAUGAAUAUAAAAUUGAUUUCUCACAUUUCUUUUUAUAGUGUUAUUAGAGAGGAUAAGUUAAGCUUACCAUUUGCAUGAGUUUGGGUGAUAGGUGAAAAUUGAUUUUUGUAUGAGGUAGGAAGGUAGGUGAAAAUUGGUUUUUGCAUGAGGGCUUAUAUUUGCAUGCUAGUAAAUAUAAAAUCACUACGAGAACGACAUUGCAAGAACAAUAACCAAACAUUUUUAAGAAGAGAAAUAUUGCUGAAUGAAUGUAAAAAUGCAUUAAUCUCACAUUUCUUUUUAUAGUGUUUAUUAAAUAUCAAGAUCAACUUGAGAGGGUAAGUUAAGUUUACUUUUUCCAUGAGUUUAGGUCAUCACGAAAUCAGUAUGAAGUGGAAUAGGUAAAAAUUGGUUUUUCCAUGAGGUUGGAAGGAAGGGCAUGACAAAGUUAUGUUGAAGUCUCUAUUGCAAUAAUGCAAGUGUGAUAAGAAAUAUUCUCUUUAACUUUUAUAUUAUUUUUUUACCCUACUUGAGUUAUACUAGUUAAGUUUUUUAAAAUUUGAUUCCCUAUGAGCUAUUACCUUUUGAUUAUUUCUAUUUUUAUCUCUAAAAUUAACUAAAACUAUCAAAUUUGGUAUAAUCACAAAUAUAUUUGAUCACAAUGUAACAUAAAGAAGACACACUAUCCUAAUGACCAAAAAAAAUUGUGAAAUGAGAUGGAAGUUUUCUGGGCAAACUAAUAAAUGCCACCAAAAAAUACUGAAACAGAAAAUUAAACCAGUUUUUCUCGGGAUUAGUAUUUCAAAUUAUCCUGAAUCCUUGAGGAGAAAGAAAACCAAUGAUUGCAACUUUCAACUAUAUCUGGAGAGAAGCCUAGUCUGUGUAUAUAUAUAUCCUGCUAUUAUACUCUUAUUAGAGUGCUUGCGUUUGGUUCAGCUUAUCUUGGCAAGAUUAUAGGCAAUCCUGCCAGAAUUACUGUGUUUGGUUCAUCCGGUAUGUAAUAUGUUCGGUGUUGAAGUGCUACAAAAGAUGUAAGAUUACAUCAAAAAUAUUAUCAGUAGUGUGUAUCUUGGAUUACUGAAGACGACUAAUUUUGUAUGUUAUAUAAAAUUAUAAGUUUACUCUUUCAACCCUUUCAGUAUGUCAUUUUAAAAAUUUUAAUUUAAAAUUUUGAAUUGUCAAAUUUUAAAUUUUAAUUUUCAAUUUUCAACUAUCAAUUUUUAAUUUUUAGAUUUUAACUUUUAAAUUUUAAAUUUUUAAAUUUUAAAUUUCAAACUUCAAAUUUCAAACUUCAAAUUUUAAAUUCCAAAUUUGUAUUUUGAAUUCUAAAUUUUAAAUUUAGAAUUUUAAAUUUUAAAUUUAUAUUUAUAUUUUAAAUUAAAAUAUUAAUAUUUUAUAUUUUUGUUUAAGUUUAAAAUUUAAAAUUUAAAUUUUUUAAAAAAAUUAAAUUAUUUAAAAUAAAAGUAAAAAAUAUUAUUUGUAAACAGUAAAAAAAAGUUUGUCAAAUAUGAUUAAGGGCAAUUUUGAAAUAGACAAUACUUUAUUGUCAAGAUUACUGAAUAUUAUAGACUGAACCAAAUAUAGUAAUGCUAUAAACACUGCAAUCCAGUACUAUAUUACUGUAUUAAAUCAAACGCGCUAACACAGUAUCAGUAGUAAUUUCAUUUAAAAAUUUAAAAUAUCUGAAUAUAUCAAAAUACUCCGUAAUAUGAAGACACCAUACCUAGGUUGUUUAUCUACUAAAUCGUGAGACUUUUCUUUUUGUUUAUACGCAUGGUAUUUAGUUUUCAUGUACUGUAGAAGUGACUAAGCAACACAUUUUUUGCAAUAAAAGAAAUAUUAAGAAAGAUAGUUUUUAUUAUGAAUUUUGAUAAAUUAAUAAGUUUUUUAUUUGAUUAUAUAUAAUCAUUUAGUUUGACGAAAGACAAGCAAAACUAUGCAAGAUUUAGAAAACUCGAUUUAUCCGCUAGAGUUAAAGUAAUUUAAAAUAAAAUAUGGUUGAUAGGUUAAAAAACUGUAAUAGAAUAAAAUUGAGUAAAAAUUUAUAGGGAUAUUCUUAAGCGUAGAUAUAUUUUGGAAAUAGAGGGGUAUGGAGAUAAAAACCAUAUAUUGUACUAAUCAUCAAUUCCUGCAUUGUAUAUGGAUAUUUUAUUAAAUAAUAAAAUAAUUCUAAUGAAAAAAUCUAUCUUAAAAUUUAUAAAAGAAAUUAAAACUUAAUUAUUUGUAGAUAAUUUUAUUCAAUAAGAUUAUAUAACAUGUAAAAUUUUUAGAUAAUAUUAUCUAGGGCAAUUGCUUAUAUGCUUGUGAAAAGUUCCAAUUUUUUACUUGUUCCGUUAAGAAGACUAAUAUAAAAAAAAGGGCAAUUGCUUAUAUUUUUCGACUUUUUGAUUUACCUCUCUUAGAAGGCUAAUAUUGAAAAUACAUUUUUUACAUUCCAACCUAUUUCUAAUAUAUUUCUAGAGUUAAAAUAUAUUGAUAAACUCUGUUAUCUCUAUGAAAUUACUAUUUUGCCCUUUCAAAUAUACCCUUCUAUCAUCACCGACUUUUCUUAUUUGCCCUUAAGUUAAGAGUAUAAAAAGCAUUUUGCUUUUUAGUCUUUUCAAAUAUAUCCUUCUACCAUCACCAAUAUUUCUUAUUUCCCCCUAAAUUAAGGGAAAAAGUGGCAUUUUAAUUUUUUUUAACUGUGGUAGAUAUUUAACUCAUGUUUAACCCAAAUUAACUUAACGGAUGGUAAUUGCAAAGAUAUUUUGGAGUAACGGAGGAGCAAAUGAGGGUACAUUGGAAAAAAAAAAAAAAGUAGGAAUAAAUAAGAUAUUUCUGAAGUUUUAAAGGGCAUGUAGGAAAUUAUCCCUAAAAAAAAGAAAAAUACUCUUUUAAUGUUCCAAUUUCUUUCAAAUAUAUAGCCCUACAAUAGAUUCUGAUAGUGCAUUGUUACGAAAGUUGAUAUUUCUACAAAAUUACUAUUUUGCUUAUUCAAAUAUUUUUUUUUACUAUCAUUCAUUUUUCUUAGUUGUCCUUAAAAUGUCAAAUAUUUUGUUGUUUAUUCUC
This 70554-nucleotide long non-coding RNA is filed under the name Ananas comosus (pineapple). RNAcentral's name for it is "long non-coding RNA (ACOM_LNC006070)". Lineage: Eukaryota; Viridiplantae; Streptophyta; Magnoliopsida; Poales; Bromeliaceae. The record is from RNAcentral.